Molecule: long non-coding RNA, 49325 nt
Filed under: Triticum aestivum (bread wheat)
Lineage: Eukaryota; Viridiplantae; Streptophyta; Magnoliopsida; Poales; Poaceae
Description: long non-coding RNA (TAES_LNC009528)
Source: RNAcentral
GUAAUGGGUGAGGUUGGGAGCUUCACCUUGAUGAUGCCUUCAUGAAUGAAACGAUGAUAAGGGCAUCGUCAUCACCGGCUCCGGCCAACGACCGAAGACCAAAUUUUCACCUGGAUCCGUCCCAAGAAAUCCACCCGACAACCUAUGCACGGUCUCGACCGCCUUCAAAGCCCCAGAUCUAGCCGCCUAGAUCCGGCGACCAACCACAACAACAGUGCCACCGUAGGAGCCCUGGCGCACCGGCCACUUCCUGAGUGCGCCACCACUAGAGUCUGGGAGGAGGGCUCUCACCCCACCUCGCCAAACCGCGAGAGCCGCCGAGAUGACCCCGCACACUAAUCACCGUCUCUGAUCUGAACCAAUCUGCGACAAAACCACGGGAUCGGCGAUGCAGAUCCGCCUUGGAUAGGGACAGCACCACGCCAUGCCGCCGCGGGAAGCCUGAGCUUCACCUGCCGCCACCUUUCAGGGCCGCCGCCCGGGAUCCAGCCGCCGCCGACAGGCCGAGCUACCGGCCACCGCGACCAAGCCCGCAUGACCCGUGAGCUCAUCGAACGACUGGCGCCACCAGAUCUUCCUCGGAGCCUAGCAGCUCCGCCGCCCCCGCCCAGCACCACGCCGCCGCCUAGACGCGCCGCGACGACGCAGAUAGGGGGAGAGCGCCCCGGCGCCAUGGGUGACCCGCCUCACCUGAUCUGGCGCGGGAGGGAAGAGAGCCUCCGCCGUCGCCAUCAGCCGCCUGGGGCUUCGCUCGGCGACCUCCUCUAGCGGCGGCGGAGGGGAGGGGGAGGAUGGACGUGCCCGGCGGCGGGGGCUAGGGUUUCCACCCGAGCCGCCCUAGAGGGAGGGCGUCGCGAGCUUACCUAGAUGAGUUUGUUAUGGAGGUUGUUAACUUAGGGUCCAUGUUAGCUAGUGUGCGGCCAUGCUUCUCUCUUUCUCAACCUUAUCGACAUGAUUCAAAUUCUAGAGUUUCAGAAGAAAUGAAGGAAGGUUACAAGAGCCUUAGGGGCACGCGCAUGAAGACUUCCCGGGUGUCAUCGAGGCCAGGCCGACUCCGGUAGGUGAGCGGUGACAGUGGCUCGUCCUGGUCGCGGUAGUGACUGUUCGAUGGUCCAGAGAUUUCUGGAUUCCCACGUGAUUUUAUUAUGUUGGGGAUGCUCUACACUUCUGGUGAACCUUUAUAGUAGAUCUGAAUCCUUUUCGCAAAAAGCAGCACUGCUACGAGAAGAGAGGAUGAGGGGGUGCUUCAAGAAGUUGAUAAAAUUUUCCACAAACUUGGUAAAAGUUUGUAUAGUUUGACAAUGAAAAAAUUCAAAUAUUUUUUUGGAAUGGACGGAGUACUUGUAGCAAGACUUGCACAGGGAGAAUAGACCCAAUAGUGCGUUAUCUAUAGAAAACGUAGUUCUUUUUUGGGCGAGAUAAGCCCAAAGUAGUUUGUGAAAAUAUUCUCCAUAAAUUCAAAAUUUAAAUGUAAUAUAUAUAGUUAAUCAACAUUUACCACCUAAUUUGUAACUUGUGGCAAAUGUAUGCCCAAAUUAGAAUCCCGGCCACUUCAUACCUCAAACUUUCAUUCUGCAAAAUGUUUCCCCUCAUGUUACAGAUUUGCACCAUGCUUUUAUUCACUCUUAAGUUUAAAUUUACGCCAAGAUUUACCCUGUAAAUAAGUUUCCACCUUUCUUAUUGGCACAAGUGUAAAGCUUGGGGUAAAUCCUUUCCACAUAAUCCCUGUCAAAAAUGAUAAAACUAAAGGUACAAAGUAAUUUUUUUAGUAUAUAUCAUCACACAAUCAUAGUACAACCAGCACACACAAGCCAUCAUCCUCCGUACAAGCCAGAAAAGUAAAUAAGAACAAUCACAAGAUUUACAUGGGCAUCAUGCCCUAAUCUUGAUUGAUCUUGACAUUAUAUAGCAUGGGAUGACUUAAUGGUGGUGGGUUACAACACACCACUUAUUUAAUCCAACCGGCAAUAUAAGUAAUGACGAUACUAUGUCUGGCAUGGUUGAUGUACCCGAACAUCUCAUGCCAACAAUUACUCUUGGACGUUUGCUUCACCAUUUCCUUUUUCUGCUUGAGUCCCAAGUGGUGGUUUUGGUUGUGCAUUCGGGUCAGGCAGUGGUUGUGGAUUCGGGUCUGGUAAUGGUUGUGGGUUUGGAUCAGGUUGCGGUCCUGGUAAUGGCUGAGGGUUUGGGUUUGGCUGUGGGUCCGGCAAUGGCUUCGGGUUUGGGUCUGGUAAUGGUUGCGGGUUUGGAUGAGGUUGUGGUCCUGGUAAUGGCUGAGGGUUUGGGUUUGGCUGUGGGUUCGGCAAUGGUAUCGGGUUUGGGUCUGGUAAUGGUUCUGGGUUUGGAUCAGGCUGUGGUCCUGGUAAUGGCUGAGGGUUUGGGUUUGGUUGUGGGUCCGGCAAUGGUUUUGGGUUUGGGUCUGGUAAUGGUUGUGGAUUUCGAUCAGGCUGCGGUCUUGGUAAUGGUUGAGGGUUUGGUUUUGCUCGUGGGUCUGGUAGUGGCCGCGGCUUUGUGUUUGGCUGUGGGUUCAUCAACUGUUGCAGGUUUUGUCCUGGCAAUAGUUGUGGAUUUGGGUCAGGNNNNNNNNNNGUUGUGGGUUUGGAUCAGGUUGCGGCCCUGGUAGUGGCUUAGGGUUUGGGUUUGGCUGUGGGUCCGGCAAUGGUUUUGGGUUUGGGUCUGGUAAUGGUUGUGGAUUUCGAUCAGGCUGCGGUCUUGGUAAUGGUUGAGGGUUUGGUUUUGCUCGUGGGUCUGGUAGUGGCCGCGGCUUUGUGUUUGGCUGUGGGUUCAUCAACUGUUGCAGGUUUUGUCCUGGCAAUAGUUGUGGAUUUGGGUCAGGGUGUGGUCCUGGUAAUGGUUGAGCGUUUGGAUCAGGUUGUGGAUCUAGCAGUGGUUGUGGGUUUGUAUGAGGUUUAGGCUCGGGUAGCGGUUGCGGCUUUGGGUCUGGUUGUGGUCCCGGCAAUGGUUGAGGGUUUGGAUCUGGCUGUUUUCCUGGUAGUGGUUCUGGAUUUGGGUUCGCCCGUGGGCCGUACUGAGGGUCUCUAGUGAUCAGGUUGUGCCUCCCGGCAGCAAGAGCAAACACUGGAAGAAGCAUAAGCAGCAACGGUGCUACGAGAAGAGAAGACGCGGAUGGGCGCUUCCUCAUCGUCAUGGCUAAGCUUGUGUUGGUACGAACUUGCAAGUGCGUGCGUCUCGAUCUUCCUAUUUAUAAGCGAAUUCAGCCAUCAAGGCUGGACAAGCAUGUACGUUGUUUACUCCAACUCUGAUUGGGCUUGUUAGCUUUGCCUUUUUGAAGAUGCGGGACUGCACGCCUCCGCUUAGUGCUCUAACCAGCAGCUAGCCACAAUAAAAAGUCAUUUAGAAAAGUUUUGAGUUAUCAUCAUAAAGAAAAAGUUUGUGUAGUUUUCGUCUGGAUAGAUGUGACAUUUUUCAGUUGAUCGUAGGAGAGCAACAUGCAGAAGCAUACAGUUGCCCAAGUUGUGAACAACCUGAUCACUUUCAGUAAUUCUGUUGAAUUCAUAGCAGGGUAGCAGAUGGCUGUGAGCAUGGAAUUUGUAAAUCAUGUAAUUUUUUUUAAAAUAAGAAAAAUCAUGUAAACACGUAUACAUGUUAUUUGCGUGUCCAAGAAGUUUAAUUAAGCCAUACACAGAUUUGUAGGCUACAUAAAAAAAAUCCAGCCCAAAUGCAAUAGAAAUAAGCCUAUUUUAAAUUAUGUAUUUGUCGUUUUCCCCUUUGUGUAGACUAUAUAUGAUUUUUUUUCAAAUAUAUUUUGUUGAAAUUUUGUAUGAACACACUAUACCUUUUUUAUUGAAAAUUUUGAGGUGCAAGAAUAAAGUUCUUGAUAAAAAAUAAAGAAGCCUGUACGAUGUAUUGUUGUACACAGGAAUAUCGUGGAUUCUAAACUUGAGGUUUGCAUGGAUGGAUUUUUUUUACGGAAUCUAGUUUAAAUGAGUCCUAUUGUUUCCCGUAUGAAUUCCUAUUCUAUGACUCAAACAACACAUACAGAAAAAUUUUCUAAGGAUUAGAUUCCUCCAAAAUUCUAUUAAAAGUUUAAAACCCCUUUGAAUCAAAGAAGCCUAUUCCCCCCAAAAUAAAGAAAAGAAUCAAAUGAGCUCGGGUGAACAGUAAAAUCAAAACUAAAUCAAUUUUUUUUUAAAAAAAUCCAAUUUUUUUUGGGAGAAAAAGUUCUAAGUGCUUGCAAAAAUUCGCCAUGAAAUCACAUUUCUAGAAGGCGUGGCAAAAAAAAAAAACAAAAUCAGUACUCUGAAAAAGCUACUUUCAAAAGCAUUUUGGAGCACUGAAUUUGUUUUUUUUGCCACGCUUUACAGGAAUGUGAUUUCAUGAUGAAUUUUUGCAAGCACUUAAAACUUUUGUUAAUGUUUCUCCCAAAAAAAAUUGGGAAUUUUUUGAAUUUUUUUUGAAUUUUUUUCGAUUUUACUGUUCACCAAGCUCAAAUGAGCUCGGGAGCAGAAAGGCACUUUCGAUCAAAGAAGCCUAUUUCGCAGCAAAGCUAGUGGCUGUCCUAUCGGACAGUGAUGCACCUUUAAGUACGCGGUUUCUAAUAAUCACGAUCAGUGCACGCCGUGCACAGUGCACUCAUUUCGGUUGUAGAUGUAACUUUCACAUUUCAUACACCAAUCACGAUCAGUUGCUUGUUGGCACGGGCGGAGCUCCGUAGGGGCAGACCUGGGCCAUGGCCCGCCCAGGAAUUUGACAAAAAAAGUUUUUACUACUAGUCGUCUUAGCCCAGCCCACUAGCCCACGCACGCACUGAAUAUCCCCCCAUCGGCCAUCGUCUCCUCGUCUCGCGCACGCUGCACGCACAGGCACACUCACGCCUUCCCCAAUUCCCCAUCCUCUCAGUCCCAGACUCAUGUAGGUUGUAGCCACGCCGCCGACGACUACCGACGUGGACAGGGAACACGUCCACACGGUCCACCGGAGCGCGCCGCCCGCCAUCUCUCGGAGCAACCGCCAUGGCAACGCCCGCCGGGAUCUCGCCUCGCCCCUGCCCUGCUCCCUCCUGCCGCCCAUCAUCCGCACACUUACANNNNNNNNNNNNNNNNNNNNNNNNNNNNNNNNNNNNNNNNNNNNNNNNNNNNNNNNNNNNNNNNNNNNNNNNNNNNNNNNNNNNNNNNNNNNNNNNNNNNNNNNNNNNNNNNNNNNNNNNNNNNNNNNNNNNNGCAAUAACCUGAUUUUGUUCAUUUCCAUACACCCAGUGAUCAGUCCUGCUAGUGAUAAAUAAUAGUCUGAUGAUCUGAUCUUACGCAAAUUUUAACAUAGGUAGUCGGGAAAGGAAAAUAAGACUCAGAGAAGAAGAAGAUCACUGCACAAUAAGAUGGAAGAUGAGAAUCUGGCUAAUAACUUGUUAGUUCACAUAGAUGGUGGAAUUCUAGAAAACUACAGCCACGAAGAUGUCAUUGCAGAUUUUAUAAACAAGAAGAUCGGAGAGUUGAUUGUAUGUGAGUAGGUCCAUGUCUAAUGUCUCUGACACUUUUGUAUUAUCUAACUCAAUAGUGAAACAUGGUUGAACUGUACUUUGGUACAUAUAUAUAUUAUAUAUAUACAUAUCUGCUAGCUCAAUCUUGUGACCUGGGUGCUUGUAAUAUGUCCUUAUGGGUAAGAAUUUAGAAAAAAUUGUGUUCUUCUUCAGUCUGGCCCGCCCAACUUUUUCGUUCAAGCUCCGCCACUGCUUGUUGGUGCACAUCCAAUGCUCUAGAAUAAAACAAAAAGUACUCCUAUAUACAAAACGUACUUUACCUAACCUACCGAUUGAAUCGUAUACAUAGAUGAAAAAGAAAAGACAUCCGUAGAGUCCCAAGUUACCUACCGAUUGAAUCGUAUGUAUAGAUGAAAAAGAAAAGACAUCCAUAGAGUACCAAGUUACCUACCGAUUGAAUCAUACAUAUAGACGAAAAAGAAAAGACAUGCAUAGAGUACCAAGUUAAAGACGAUAUGACCUCACAACUAGAUUGGGUUGGGUGAGUGGAGUGCCACUUUAAUCCUUGUCUGGAGCACGCGCUAUGAUAUUUCUUCAGAGGCGCUGAAGUGGGGAACAAGACUGAUAGAACAAACAACAAGUGAGAUAUUUUGAGCUUCACUAGGUUGGAGGCCUGGUGUGCUCAGAAUUUAUCAGGGUGUAUUCAGGUUGCAGCACUGCUGCCAAGGCAUUUCUCCAGCUUCGCUCUGAAGAUCUUUUGCUUUGCUUUGUUCCUCUGUUUGUUUGUAAUGAAGUUCCCGUGUUUUGUGAUGGUUGCAAGUUCCCUGUAGUCUUUAUAUAUUUGGCUCAAGGGUGCCUGAAAAUUUCAUAGUUAUGUUUAAAAAAAUGCCGUAGUUGUUAGUUUUUGGACCAUCUAUCUAAAUCUAUCAAAGACCCUGUUGCCCGAGCUAGCCAAUCAAAGUUGGGCCAUUUGCAUCAAGCUAGGUAGGAUGCGUCGCCGGAAAACCCAAAUCGCUAAUUAAGGAGUACUCUUUGCAAAGGUCACUCCUACCAUGUCGCAACUAGUGAGUUUUCCUUUUUUUGUCGAUUCGUUUAUUCAACACGUUUUAUCGGUUAAAACAUGCAUUCACAUCUUGAAUCGUUUUCUCCAUUGUAUUCCUCGCACUGAGAUCUUGAAAAUUAGAUCCGAUCUGAUAGGUUUUGAUGAACGUUUUACUUUACGAAAAAUACCGAACAAAAAACAAACCGGGAGCACAUUUUUUCCUUUCUGAAAAGGGCACAAUCGUGCCUCUCGUGUCGUUACAAAUCUUAUCUCUGUUCGUCGUUACAAAUCCUAUGAAUUGCUAUUCUAUCUUCACAACAUCCUAUACUCCCCUUGUGUCGUUACAAAUCUUAUCUCUGUUCGUCGUUUUUGCAUUGACAAUUCAGUAACAAUUGAGUUUUACCCCCUUGACUUUGUUGUGAAGGAUCUAGCCACUCGGACUCCUUAUGAGCCGCAGUAGCUACGGCCAGCUUUACUCCUUCUCCGGCGGCACCACCAACCACCAGGCGGUGCUCUCUAUGGACGUUGGAAACUUGUGGCAUCAGCGAUUAGGGCACCCCAGUGCUGCCUCCCUUUCCCGUUUGGCGAGCAGUUUUUAACCAAAUUGUAAUAAGCCAGUCCACCCCAUGGUACUUGUCAUGCAUGUCAAUUAGGCCACCAUGCUCUCCUUCCUUUUUCCAGAUUCUCUGUCAUUUACUACUUUUCCUUUUCAACUAGUGCACUAUGAUAUAUGAACCUCAACAAUUGCGAGUUUUUCCGGCUUCAAAUAUUAUUUGUUUGUCAUAGACGACUUCACUCACUUCCCUUGGAGCUUCCCGCUACACCAUAAGCCCCAUGCCGCUGCCACCCUUGAACGCUUUUACCAGUACGUGCUCAUACAAUUCCGUGUUUACAUACAGUGUGUCCAAUGUGAUAAUGGGGGCGACUUCCUCAACGUUCACCUAUGCACUUUCUGUUGGGGAACGUUGCAGAAAACAAAAAUUUUCCUACGGUUUCACCAAGAUCCAUCUAGGACUUCAUCUAGCAACGAGUAAUCGGAUUGCAUCUACGUACCUUGUAGAUCGCGAGUGGAAGCGUUCAAAGAACGGGGAUGAGGGAGUCGUACUCGACGUGAUCCAAAUCACCGGAGAUCCUAGCGCCGAACGGACGACACCUCCGCGUUCAACACACGUACGGUCAGCGUAACGUCUCCUUCCUCUUGAUCCAGCAAGGGGCAAGGAGAGGUUGAGGAAGAUGGCUCCAGCAGCAGCACGACGGCGUGGUGGUGAUGGAGCUGCAGUACUCCGGCAGGGCUUCGCCAAGCUCUAUGGAGGAGGAGGAUGUGUUGGAGAGGGAGAGGGAGGCACCAAAGGCAAAGGUAAGAGGUCCUCCAUCCUCCCCACUAUAUAUAGGGGGGCCUAGGGGGGGACGCCGGCCCUAGGAGAUGCAAUCUCCUAGGGGGGCGGCGGCCAAGGGGUGGGGGACUUGCCCCCCAAGCAAGGGGGCGUCCCCCCCCUUUAGGGUUUCCCCCACCCUAGGCGCAUGGGCCCUAGGGGAAGUGGCGCCCCAGCCCACUUUGGGCUGGAUCCCUUCCCACUUCAGCCCAUGGGGCCCUCCGGGAUAGGUGGCCCCACCCGGUGGACCCCCGGGACCCUUCCGGUGGUCCCGGUACAAUACCGGUGACCCCGAAACUUGUCCCGAUAGCCGAAAUAGCACUUCCUAUAUAUAAUUAUUUACCUCCGGACCAUUCCGGAACUCCUCGUGAUGUCCGGGAUCUCAUCCGGGACCCCGAACAACAUCCGGGUUACUGCAUAUACAUAUCCCUAUAACCCUAGCGUCACCGAACCUUAAGUGUGUAGACCCUACGGGUUCGGGAGACAUGUAGACAUGACCGAGAUCGCUCUCCGGUCAAUAAACAAUAGCGGGAUCUGGAUACCCAUGUUGGCUCCCACAUGCUCCUCGAUGAUCUCAUCGGAUGAACCACGAUGUCGAGGAUUCAAGCAACCCCGUAUACAAUUCCCUUCGUCAGUCGGUAUGUUACUUGCCCGAGAUUCGGUCGUCGGUAUCCCAAUACCUCGUUCAAUCUCGUUACCGGCAAGUCACUUUACUCUUACCGUAAUGCAUGAUCCCGUGACCAGACACUUGGUCACUUUGAGCUCAUUAUGAUGAUGCAUUACCGAGUGGGCCCAGUGAUACCUCUUCGUCAUACGGAGUGACAAAUUCCAGUCUUGAUCCGUGUCAACCCAACAGACACUUUCGGAGAUACCCGUAGUAUACCUUUAUAGUCACCCAGUUACUUGUGACGUUUGGUACACCCAAAGCACUCCUACGGUAUCCGGGAGUUACACGAUCUCAUGGUCUAAGGAAAAGAUACUUGACAUUGGAAAACUCUAGCAAAUGAACUAUACGAUCUUGUGCUAUGUUUAGGAUUGGGUCUUGUCCAUCACAUCAUUCUCCUAAUGAUAUGAUCUCGUUAUCAAUGACAUUCAAUGUCCAUAGUCAGGAAACCAUGACUAUCUUUGAUCAACGAGCUAGUCAACUAGAGGCUUACUAGGGACAUGUUGGUGUCUAAGUAUUCACACAUGUAUUACAAUUUCCGGAUAACACAAUUAUAGCAUGAAUAAAAGACAAUUAUCAUGAACAAGGAAAUAUAAUAAUAAUGCUUUUAUUAUUGCCUCUAGGGCAUAUUUCCAACAGUCUCCCACUUGCACUAGAGUCAAUAAUCUAGUUACAUUGUGAUGAAUCGAACACCCAUGGAAUUCUGGUGUUGAUCAUGUUUUGCUCUAGGGAGAGGUUUAGUCAACGGAUCUGCUACAUUCAGGUCCAUAUGUACUUUACAAAUAUCUAUGUCUCCAUCUUGAACAUUUUCACGAAUGGAGUUGAAGCGACGCUUGAUGUGCCUCGUCUUCUUGUGAAAUCUGGGCUCCUUGGCAAGUGCAAUAGCUCCAUGUUGUCACAGAAGAGCUUCAUAGGCCCCGAUGCAUUGGGUAUGACUCCUAGGUCGGUGAUGAACUCCUUCACCCAAAUUGCUUCAUGCGCUGCCUCCGAGGCUGCCAUGUACUCCGCUUCACAUGUAGAUCCCGCCACGACGCUCUUCUUGCAACUGCACCAGCUUACUGCCCUACCAUUCAAAAUAUACACGUAUCCGGUUUGUGACUUAGAGUCAUCCAGAUCUGUGUCGAAGCUAGCAUCGACGUAACCAUUUACGACGAGCUCUUCGUCACCUCCAUAGACGAGAAACAUUUCCUUAGUCCUUUUCAGGUACUUCAGGAUAUUCUUGACCGCUGUCCAGUGUUCCUUGCCGGGAUUACUUUGGUACCUACCUACCAAACUUACGGCUAGGUUUACAUCAGGUCUGGUACACAGCAUGGCAUACAUAAUAGAACCUAUGGCUGAGGCAUAGGGGAUGAUACUCAUCUCUUCUAUAUCUUCUGCCGUGGUCGGACAUUGAGCUGAGCUCAAUUUCAUACCUUGCAACACAGGCAAGAACCCCUUCUUAGACUGAUCCAUAUUGAAUUUCUUCAAUAUCUUAUCAAGGUAUGUGCUUUGUGAAAGACCUAUGAGGCGUCUUGAUCUAUCUCUGUAGAUCUUGAUGCCUAAUAUAUAAGCAGCUUCUCCAAGGUCCUUCAUUGAAAAACUCUUAUUCAAGUAGGCCUUAAUGCUGUCCAAAAGUUCUAUAUCAUUUCCCAUCAAAAGUAUGUCAUCUACAUAUAAUAUGAGAAAUGCUACAGAGCUCCCACUCACUUUCUUGUAAACACAGGCUUCUCCAUAAGUCUGCGUAAACCCAAACGCUUUGAUCAUCUCAUCAAAGCGAAUGUUCCAACUCCGAGAUGCUUGCACCAGCCCAUAAAUCGAGCGUUGGAGCUUGCACACCUUGUCAGCAUACUUAGGAUCGACAAAACCUUACGGCUGCAUCAUAUACCAUUCUUCCUUAAGGAAACCAUUAGGAAUGCCGUUUUGACGUCCAUUUGCCAUAUUUCAUAAUCAUAGAAUGCGGCAAUUGCUAACAUGAUUCGGACGGACUUCAGCUUCGCUACCGGUGAGAAAGUCUCAUCGUAGUCAACCCCUUGAACUUGUCGAUAACCCUUAGCGACAAGCCGAGCUUUAUAGAUGGUCACACUACCAUCCGCGUCUGUCUUCUUCUUAAAGAUCCAUUUAUUUUCUAUGGCUUGCCGCUCUACGGCCAAGUCAGUCAAAGUCCAUACUUCGUUUUCAUACAUGGAUCCUAUCUCGGAUUUCAUGGCUUCCAGCCAUUUGUCAGAAUCCGGGCCCGCCAUCGCUUCUUCAUAGUUUGAAGGUUCACCGUUGUCUAACAACAUGAUUUCCAAGACAGGGUUGCCGUACCAAUCUGGUGCGGAACGUGUCCUUGUGGACCUUCGAAUUUCAGUAGGAGCUUGAUCAGAAGUAUCUUGAUCAUCAUCAUUAACUUCCUCUCUAGUCGGUGCAGGCACCUCAGGAACAUUUUCUUGAGUUGCGCCAUUUUCCGGUUCAAGAGGUAAUACUUCAUCAAGUUCUACUUUCCUCCCAUUUACUUCUUUCGAGAGAAACUCCUUCUCUAGAAAGGAUCCAUUCUUGGCAACAAAGAUCUUGCCUUCGGAUCUGAGGUAGAAGGUAUACCCAAUAGUUUCUUUAGGGUAUCCUAUGAAGACGCAUUUUUCCGACUUGGGUUCGAGCUUUUCAGGUUGAAGUUUCUUGACAUAAGCAUCGCAUACCCAAACUUUUAGAAACGAUAGCUUAGCUUUCUUCCCAAACCAUAAUUCAUACGGUGUCGUCUCAACGGAUUUCGACGGAGCCCUAUUUAAAGUGAAUGCGGGAGUCUCUAAAGCAUAGCCCCAAAAAGAUAGCGGUAAAUCGGUAAGAGACAUCAUAGAUCACACCAUAUCUAAUAGAGUGCGAUUACGACGUUCGGACACACCAUUACGCUGAGGUGUUCCAAGCGGCGUGAGUUGUGAAACUAUUCCAUAUUUUCUUAAGUGUGUGCCAAACUCGUGACUCAAGUAUUCUCCUUCACGAUCUGAUCGCAGGAACUUGAUUUUCCUGUCACGUUGAUUCUCAACCUCACUCUGAAAUUCCUUGAACUUUUCAAAGGUCUCAGACUUGUGUUUCAUUAAGUAGACAUACCCAUAUAUACUCAAGUCAUCAGUGAGGGUGAGAACAUAACGCCACCGUGAGCCUCAACAGUCAUUGGACCGCACACAUCAGUAUGUAUGAUUUCCAAUAAGUUGGUUUCUCGCUCCAUUGUUCCUGAGAACGGAGUCUUGGUCAUUUUACCCAUGAGGCAUGAUUCGCACAUGUCAAAUGAUUCGUAAUCAAGAGACUCUAAAAGUCCAUCAGCAUGGAGCUUCUUCAUGCGUUUGACACCUAUGUGACCAAGGCGGCAGUGCCACAAGUAUGUGGGACUAUCAUUAUCAAUCUUACAUCUUUUGGUACUCACACUAUGAACAUGUGUAGCAUUACGCUCGAGAUUCAUUAAGAAUAAACCAUUCACCAUCGGAGCAUGACCAUAAAACAUAUCUCUCAUAUAAAUAGAACAACCAUUAUUCUCGGAUUUAAAUGAGUAGCCAUCUCGAAUUAAACGAGAUCCUGAUACAAUGUUCAUGCUCAAAGCUAGCACUAAAUAACAAUUAUUAAGGUUUAAAACUAAUCCCGAAGGUAAAUGUAGAGGUAGCGUGCCGACGGCGAUCACAUUGACCUUGGAACCAUUCCCGACGCGCAUCGUCACCUCGUCCUUCGCCAGUCUCCGCUUAUUCCGCAGCUCCUGUUUUGAGUUACAAAUGUGAGCAACCGCACCGGUAUCAAAUACCCAGGAGCUACUACGAGUACUGGUAAGGUACACAUCAAUUACAUGUAUAUCACAUAUACCUUUCGUGAUGCCGGCCUUCUUGUCCGCUAAGUAUUUGGGGCAGUUUCGCUUCCAGUGACCACUUCCCUUGCAAUAAAAGCACUUAGUCUCGGGCUUGGGUCCAUUCUUUGGCUUCUUCCCGGCAGCUUGCUUGCCGGGCGCGGCAACUCCCUUGUCGUCCUUCUUGAAGGCUUUCUUACCCUUGCCCUUCUUGAACUUAGUGGUUUUAUUCACCAUCAACACUUGAUGUUCCUUUUUGACUUCUACCUCAGCUGAUUUCAGCAUUGCAAAUACGUCAGGAAUGGUCUUUUCCAUCCCCUGCAUAUUGAAGUUUAUCACAAAGCUCUUGUAGCUCGGUGGAAGCGACUGAAGGAUUCUGUCAAUGACCGUGUCAUCCGGGAGAUUAACUCCCAGCUGAGUCAAGCGGUUAUGCAACCCAGACAUAAUGAGUAUGUGCUCACUGACAGAACUGUUUUCCUCCAUCUUACAGCUGAAGAACUUGUCGGAGACUUGAUAUCUCUCGACCCGGGCAUGAGCUUGGAAAACCAUUUUCAGCUCUUCGAACAUCUCAUAUGCUCCGUGUCUCUCAAAACGCUUUUGGAGCCCCGGCUCUAAGCUGUAAAGCAUGCCGGACUGAACGAGGGAGUAGUCAUCGGUACGUGCCUGCCAAGCGUUCAUAACGUCUUGUUCUGCAGGGAGAACAGGUGUGUCACCUGGCGGUGCUUGUAGGACAUAAUCUUUCUUGGCAGCUAUGAGGAUGAUCCUCAGGUUUCGGACCCAGUCCGUGUAGUUGCUGCCAUCGUCUUUCAGCUUGGUUUUCUCUAGGAACGCGUUGAAGUUGAGGACUACGUUGGCCAUUUGAUCUACAAGACAUAUUGUAAAUUUUUUAGACUAAGUUCAUGAUAAUUAAGUUCAUCUAAUCAAAUUAUUCAAUGAACUCCCACUUAGAUAGACAUCCCUCCAGUAAUCUAAGUAUAACAUGAUCCGAGUUAACUAGGACGUGUCCGAUCAUCACGUAAGACGGACUAGUCAACAUCGGUGAACAUCUUCAUGUUGAUCGUAUCUUCUAUAUGACUCAUGCUCGACCUUUCGGUCUUCUGUGUUCCGAGGCCAUGUCUGUACAUGCUAGGCUCGUCAAGUCAACCUAAGUGUUUGCAUGUGUAAAUCUGUCUUACACCCGUUGUAUGUGAACGUUGGAAUGAAUCUAACACCCGAUCAUCACGUGGUGCUUCGAAACAACGAACUGUCGCAAUGGUGCACAGUUAGGAGAAACACUUUCUUGAAAUUAUUAUGAGGGAUCAUCUUAUUUACUAUCGUUGUUCUAAGUAAACAAGAUGCAGAAACAUGAUAAACAUCACAUGCAAUCAAAUAGUGACAUGAUAUGGCCAAUAUCACAUAGCUCCUUUGAUCUCCAUCUUGGGGCUCCAUGAUCAUCUUGUCACCAGCAUGACACCAUGAUCUCCAUCAUCAUGAUCUCCAUCACAGUGUCUCCAUGAAGUUGCUCGCCAACUAUUACUUCUACUACUAUGGCUAACACGUUUAGCAAUAAAGUAAAGUAAUUUACAUGGCGUUUCUCAAUGAAACGCAGGUCAUACAAAAAAUAAAGACAACUCCUAUGGCUCCUGCCGGUUGUCAUACUCAUCGACAUGCAAGUCGUGAUUCCUAUUACAAUAGCAUGAGCAUCUCAUACAUCACAUGUAUAUCAUUCAUCAUUCAUCACAACUUUGGCCAUAUCACAUCACAGAACACUUGCUGCAAAAACAAGUUAGACGUCCUCUAAUUGUUGUUGCAAGUUUUACGUGGCUGCAAUAGGGUUCUAGCAAGAACGUUUUCUUACCUACGUGAAAGCCACAACAUGAUUUGUCAACUUCUAUUUACCCUUCAUAAGGACCCUUUUCAUCGAAUCCGCUCCAACUAAAGUGGGAGAGACAGACACCCGCCAGCCACCUUAUGCAACUUGUGCAUGUUAGUCGGUGGAACCGGUCUCACGUAAGCGUACGUGUAAGGUUGGUCCGGGCCGCUUCAUCCCACAAUACCGUUGAAGCAAGAUAAGACUAGUAGCGGCAAGAAAGUUGACAACAUCUACGCCCACAACAAAUUGUGUUCUACUCGUGCAAAGAGAACUACGCAUAGACCUAGCUCAUGAUGCCACUGUUGGGGAACGUUGCAGAAAACAAAAUUUUUCCUACGGUUUCACCAAGAUCCAUCUAGGAGUUCAUCUAGCAACGAGUGAUCGGAUUGCAUCUACGUACAUUGUAGAUCGCGAGCGGAAGCGUUCAAAGAACGGGGAUGAGGGAGUCGUACUCGACGUGAUCCAAAUCACCGGAGAUCCUAGCGCCGAACGGACGGCACCUCCGCGUUCAACAGACGUACGGUCAGCGUAACGUCUCCUUCCUCUUGAUCCAGCAAGGGGCAAGGAGAGGUUGAGGAAGAUGGCUCCAGCAGCAGCACGAUGGCGUGGUGGUGAUGGAGCUGCAGUACUCCGGCAGGGCUUCGCCAAGCUCUAUGGAGGAGGAUGUGUUGGAGAGGGAGAGGGAGGCACCAAAGGCAAAGGUAAGAGGUCCUCCAUCCUCCCCACUAUAUAUAGGGGGGCCUGGGGGGGGGGGCGCCGGCCCUAGGAGAUGCAAUCUCCUAGGGGGGCGGCGGCCAAGGGGUGGGGGACUUGCCCCCAAGCAAGGGGGCGCCCCCCCCUUUAGGGUUUCCCCCACCCUAGGCGCAUGGGCCCUAAGGGAAGUGGCGCCCCAGCCCACUUUGGGCUGGAUCCCUUCCCACUUCAGCCCAUGGGGCNNNNNNNNNNNNNNNNNNNNNNNNNNNNNNNNNNNNNNNNNNNNNNNNNNNNNNNNNNNNNNNNNNNNNNNNNNNNNNNNNNNNNNNNNNNNNNNNNNNNNNNNNNNNNNNNNNNNNNNNNNNNNNNNNNNNNNNNNNNNNNNNNNNNNNNNNNNNNNNNNNNNNNNNNNNNNNNNNNNNNNNNNNNNNNNNNNNNNNNNNNNNNNNNNNNNNNNNNNNNNNNNNNNNNNNNNNNNNNNNNNNNNNNNNNNNNNNNNNNNNNNNNNNNNNNNNNNNNNNNNNNNNNNNNNNNNNNNNNNNNNNNNNNNNNNNNNNNNNNNNNNNNNNNNNNNNNNNNNNNNNNNNNNNNNNNNNNNNNNNNNNNNNNNNNNNNNNNNNNNNNNNNNNNNNNNNNNNNNNNNNNNNNNNNNNNNNNNNNNNNNNNNNNNNNNNNNNNNNNNNNNNNNNNNNNNGGAAGAUGGCUCCAGCAGCAGCACGAUGGCGUGGUGGUGAUGGAGCUGCAGUACUCCGGCAGGGCUUCGCCAAGCUCUAUGGAGGAGGAUGUGUUGGAGAGGGAGAGGGAGGCACCAAAGGCAAAGGUAAGAGGUCCUCCAUCCUCCCCACUAUAUAUAGGGGGGCCUAGGGGGGGGGGCGCCGGCCCUAGGAGAUGCAAUCUCCUAGGGGGGCGGCGGCCAAGGGGUGGGGGACUUGCCCCCAAGCAAGGGGGCGCCCCCCCCUUUAGGGUUUCCCCCACCCUAGGCGCAUGGGCCCUAAGGGAAGUGGCGCCCCAGCCCACUUUGGGCUGGAUCCCUUCCCACUUCAGCCCAUGGGGCCCUCCGGGAUAGGUGGCCCCACCCGGUGGACCCCCGGGACCCUUCCGGUGGUCCCGGUACAAUACCGGUGACCCCGAAACUUGUCCCGAUAGCCGAAAUAGCACUUCCUAUAUAUAAUUCUUUACCUCCGGACCAUUCUGGAACUCCUCGUGAUGUCCGGGAUCUCAUCCGGGACCCCGAACAACAUUCGGGUUACUGCAUAUACAUAUCCCUAUAACCCUAGCGUCACCGAACCUUAAGUGUGUAGACCCUACAGGUUCGGGAGACAUGUAGACAUGACCGAGAUCGCUCUCCGGUCAAUAACCAACAGCGGGAUCUGGAUACCCAUGUUGGCUCCCACAUGCUCCUCGAUGAUCUCAUCGGAUGAACCACGAUGUCGAGGAUUCAAGCAACCCCGUAUACAAUUCCCUUCGUCAGUCGGUAUGUUACUUGCCCGAGAUUCGAUCGUCGGUAUCCCAAUACCUCGUUCAAUCUCGUUACCGGCAAAUCACUUUACUCUUACCGUAAUGCAUGAUCCCGUGACCAGACACUUGGUCACUUUGAGCUCAUUAUGAUGAUGCAUUACCGAGUGGGCCCAGUGAUACCUCUCCGUAAUACGGAGUGACAAAUCCCAGUCUUGAUCCGUGUCAACCCAACAGACACUUUCAGAGAUACCCGUAGUAUACCUUUAUAGUCACCCAGUUACGUUGUGACGUUUGGUACACCCAAAGCACUCCUACGGUAUCCGGGAGUUACACGAUCUCAUGGUCUAAAGGAAAAGAUACUUGACAUUGGAAAACUCUAGCAAACGAACUAUACGAUCUUGUGCUAUGUUUAGGAUUGGGUCUUGUCCAUCACAUCAUUCUCCUAAUGAUGUGAUCUCGUUAUCAAUGACAUCCAAUGUCCAUAGUCAGGAAACCAUGACUAUCUGUUGAUCAACGAGCUAGUCAACUAGAGGCUUACCGGGGACAUGUUGGUGUCUAAGUAUUCACACAUGUAUUAUGAUUUCCGGAUAACACAAUUAUAGCAUGAAUAAAAGACAAUUAUCAUGAACAAGGAAAUAUAAUAAUAAUGCUUUUAUUAUUGCCUCUAGGGCAUAUUUCCAACACUUUCCUCUACGAGGCAUCACCCUUUGUCACUCUUGCCCGCACACCUCCCCUCAAAACGAGAAGGCCGAGCACGGCAUUCGCUCCAUGAACGACAUUAUGCGCACACUCCUCCAAGCUCACAUGCCACCUUCGUUUUGGGUCGACGCCCUCAACACCACCACAUACUUACUGAAUUUCGCCCAUCCCGAGCCAUCGACCACAUCCCACCCUACUACGCCCUCUUUGGUACCUCUCCAGAUUACAGCUCCCUACGCACGUUCGUCUGCCUCUGCUACCAAAACCUCUAUGCCACUAUGCCCUACAAAUUAGCUCCCCGCUCCGUUCGCUGCAUUCUCCUCGGUAUGCCACUUGAGCAUAAAGGCUACAGGUGCCUGGACCUCUCCAAUCGAUGACUCAUUACCUCUAGACAUGUCAUUUUUUGACGAAAACACCUUCCCAUUCAUUGAUGCCCCGAGCGGCCACACGCCUGCACGAGCAGGGUCUGCUCCGGCCGCAGAAAAUCAAGCACCCACCUCCAUCCCCCUCGGAUCACCCACUCCACCAGUCACGCACCACCUCCCAUCCCCAAGCAUGCAGCCCGACCCCACCUCCCAAACCCAUGCAGUGAUUCACCCAUCACCUGCAUGCGGCGCGCCUCCCCUCGUGUCGACUCCACGCCUAGAUGCAGUAGCCCGCCACUUACGCCUCUGCAUGCAGCGCCCCUCACUCUAUGCCGCCCACGCAUGUAGUACGAUCCCACCCUGAGUCGUGCCGAUUUUACCUGCCAAAAACUUGCAUGCCAGGCGCACCUGCGCAAAGUCCAGUUUUCUGCAGCCAAAGAAGCUUCUGACCGUCGCUACCUCUCCCGCCCCCAUCUCUCCUAUUCCCGCAAACUACAAAGAAGCUCUCAAAGACCCCAACUGGUACAAUGUUAUGCUUGAAGAAUUUAACGCUUUGUUGCAAAGCAAAACGUGGUCUUUGGUUGCUUGCUCUGCAGGUGUCAACUUGGUGUCUGGGAAGUGGAUAUUCCGCCACAAGCUUCAUCUCGACGGCUCCCUCGCUCGGUACAAGGCGUGUUGGGUACUUCGUGGCUUCACAAAGCAGCCUGGCAUUGACUACGGGGAGACCUUCAGCCCCGUGUGGUGAAACCGGCCACCAUCCGCGUCAUCCUCAGUGUCGCCAUCAGUAACCGUUGGGCCAUUAACCAGCUGGACAUGAAGAACCCCUUCCUCCACGGCACUCUCGAUGAGCUCGUCUACAGUCAGCCGCCGGCUAGCUUCGUCGACACCGCACACCCCUCGACCAUGUGCAAACUCCAAAAGUCCUUGUAUGACUUAAGCAGGCUCCUCGUGCGUGGUUCCAGCGGUUCACCACAUUCCUUCUCUCGCUCGGCUUCACGGUGUCAAGAUCCGACACAUCCCUAUUUAUUCUCCGCCGUGGCACCUCAGUGGCAUACCUCUUGCUAUAUGUUGACGAUAUCAUUCUCACCGCUAGCUCCUCCGGGUUACUCACCAUCGUUACCGCCGCUCUCACCUCUGAGUUCUCCAUGGCGAACCUCAGCUCGCUCCACCACUUCCUUGGCGUCAAUGUUCAGUGCAGCCCCACUGGUUUGUUUCUUUCCGAGCAACAGUAUGCGCUCGAGAUCCUUGAUCGCGCCUCCAUGCUCAACUGCAAACCCAUCACUACCCCCGUCGACACCAAAGCAAAGCUCGCCACCUCGCCACCUCAGCUAACGACUCUGCUCCUGACCCAUCCCUCUUCCAUAGUCUCGCCGGUGCCCUGCAGUACCUCACGCUCAUGCGCCCGGACAUAGCCUACACCGUCCAGCAGGUGUGCCUCGUCAUGCACUCGCCGCGCAUGCUACACGCCGCCCUCCUCAAAUGUAUCAUGCGUUAUCUGCGUGGUACCACCCACCUUGGCCUUCAUAUUCGUCUGUCUGCUUCAUCCCAGCUCAUGUCUUACACAGACGCCGACUGGGCCGGUUGUCCCGACACCGUACCUGACGCUCGAUGUCUGGCUACUACAUGUACAUCGGUGACAACCUCGUCUCCUGGUCUUCGAAGCGACAAACCACCUUGUCGCGAUCGAGUGCGGAGGCAGAGUACCGAGCUGUCGCCAACGCGGUCACGGAGUCGUGUUGGCUACGAAGCUUCUUCAGGAUAUCGGAUGGCCUCCAUGGUGCUACCACUGUUUACUGAGACAACGUAUCGGUGACUGAAGGAAAUAUGCCCUAGAGGCAAUAAUAAAGUUAUUAUUUAUUUCCUUAUAUCAUGAUAAAUGUUUAUUAUUCAUUCUAGAAUUGUAUUAACGGAAACAUAAUACAUGUGUGAAUACAUAGACAAACAGAGUGUCACUAGUAUGCCUCUACUUGACUAGCUCGUUGAUCAAAGAUGGUUAUGUUUCCUAACCAUAGACAUGAGUUGUCAUUUGAUUAACGGGAUCACAUCAUUAGGAGAAUGAUGUGAUUGACUUGACCCAUUCCGUUAGCAUAGCACUUGAUCGUUUAGUUUGUUGUUAUUGCUUUCUUCAUGACUUAUACAUGUUCCUAUGAUUAUGAGAUUAUGCAACUCCCGUUUACCAGAGGAACACUUUGUGUGCUACCAAACGUCACAACGUAACUGGGUGAUUAUAAAGGUGCUCUACAGGUGUCUCCGAAGGUACUUGUUGGGUUGGCGUAUUUCGAGAUUAGGAUUUGUCACUCCGAUUGUCGGAGAGGUAUCUCUAGGCCCUAUCGGUAAUGCACAUCACUUAAGCCUUGCAAGCAUUGCAACUAAUGAGUUAGUUGCGGGAUGAUGUUUUACGGAACGAGUAAAGAGACUUGCCGGUAACGAGAUUGAACUAGGUAUUGAGAUACCGACGAUCGAAUCUCGGACAAGUAACAUACCGAUGACAAAGGAAAUAACGUAUGUUGUUAUGCGGUCUGACCGAUAAAGAUCUUCGUAGAAUAUGUGGGAGCCAAUAUGAGCAUCCAGGUUCCGCUAUUGGUUAUUGACCGGAGACAUGUCUCGGUCAUGUCUACAUAGUUCUCGAACCUGUAGGGUCCGCACGCUUAAAGUUUCGGUGACGAUUGUAUUAUGAGUUUAUGUGAUUUGAUGUACCGAAGGUAGUUUGGAGUCCCGGAUGAGAUCGGGGACAUGACGAGGAGUCUCAAAAUGGUCGAGACGUAAAGAUCGAUAUAUUGGACGACUAUAUUCGGACAUCGGAAAGGUUCCGAGUGAUUCGGGUAUUUUCGGGAGUACCGGGAGUUACGGGAAUACGAGGAAGAAGUAAUGGGCCUCAUGGACCAAGUGGUGGAAGAGAGGAGGCAGGGCGCGCGGCCCUCCUAGCCCAAACCGAAUUGGACUAGGGGGCCGGCCCCCCUUUCCUCCUUUUCCUCCUUCUCCUUCCUUCUCCUUCUCCUCCUUCCUUUCCUCCUCCUAGUAGGAGUAGGAAAGGGGAGUCCUACUCCUACUAGGAGGAGGACUCCUCCUCCUGGCGCGCCCAUAGAGGGCCGGUCGGCCUCCCCCCUUGCUCCUUUAUAUACAGGGGCAGGGGGGCACCUCUAGACACACAAGUUGAUCUUCGUGAUCGUUCCUUAGCCGUGUGUGGUGCCCCCUUCCACCAUAUUCCACCUCGGUCAUAUCGUAGCGGUGCUUAGGCGAAGCCCUGCGUCAGUAGAACAUCAUCACCGUCAUCACGCCGUCGUGCUGACGAAACUCUCCCUCAACACUCGGCUGGAUCGGAGCUCGAGGGACGUCACCGAGUUGAACGUGUGAGAACUCGGAGGUGCCGUACGUUCGGUACUUGGAUCGGUCGGAUCGGGAAGACGUACGACUACUUCCUCUACGUUGUGUCAACACUUCCGUUGCUGGUCUACGAGGGUACGUAGACGACACUCUCCCCUCUUAUUGCUAUGCAUCACCAUGUUCUUGCGUGUGCGUAGGAAAUUUUUUGAAAUUACUACGUUAUCCAACAAUGACGUACCUCUCCACCAACCCGGUACAACACCAACGCACCAAGCACGUGGAGAUUGAUCUUCAUUUCGUGCGCGACCGCGUUGUCUUCGGAGAUGUUCGUGUUCUGCAUGUUCCGGCAACCUCCCAGUUUGCCGACGUUUUCACCAAGGGGAUACCAACCGGCGUCUUGACAGAGUUCCGGUCCAGCCUCAAUGUCGUCGAAGACCCCGUUGCGGCUGUGGGGGGCUGCUGGAAUUGUAAAACGCCUCCUGCAUGUACAUUACCGGGUCCCUCGGCUGGACAGAUCGGCUCGCGCAAGUAGCAUGGGACACCUGCGUCUGUUACACACGAUCCCCUUCUCCGUUGCUUGUAGCUGCUGUACCUAGGCGUAUAUAUAUAACUCUGUACAAUCUGGAAUAGACACGGUGAAGAUCACCUUUCAACUGUUCGCACUGUGCGGCCAAACCUUGUUUGGCUGGGACUGACAAAUGAAAAUGAUGCACCCGAGCACAUCCAGAAGGAUCUGAACGCUCGCAGUCCAAACCAGCUUAUCGGCAUUGGUACAGAGUUGAGGCAAAACCGAGCAGUGAAGCAAGCUCCAGCAUUUUCAACAUGAAGGAAACGAAAAAGACGAAACAGGCUCCAACAUUCUCGUCAAAAAAGAUAAGAAAAGGAAAAAAGAAACAGGCUCCAGCAUUCUUGACACAAAAGAAAUGAAGAAGGAAAACGAAACAGGCUCAGGCAUUCUUGACACAAAAGAAAAGAAAAAGGAAAAGGAGAAAGGCUCCAAUAUUCUUGACAAAAUAGAGAAGCAAAAGAAAAAGGAAUCAGGCACAAGCAUCCUCGACACAGAAGAAAAGAAAAGGGAAAAGGAAAUUGGAUCCAGCAUUCUCGAUAAAAAGGAAGAGAAACAGGAAACAGGUUCAACCAUUCUCGACAAAAAGGAAAAGAAAAAGAAAACAGGCUCCGACAUUUUGGACAAAAGAGAAAAGAACAAGGAAACGAAAACAGGCUCCAGCAUUGAUCUCGACAAGAAAGAAAAGAAAAAAAUUUGAAAAGCAAGCUCCGUCAGAACGGUAACAGUAGCACCAAUGCUAAAGAAGAGCAAAUUGAACAGUAGCACCAAGGUGAAGGAAGCUCAAGACCGAUGAGAUGUCCUGGUUUCUAUAUAUCCAAUUAAUAUACCAUAUUUUAAUUAUUGUAACAAUAUGAUUGUAUUUUUUGUGAUGUAAUGAGUCGUUUGAUUCGAACCUCUGUUUGUUCAGUUUCUGCUUGCUGCUGUUGUAAUCACAAACCGUCAUGUCAAAUAAAUGGAGUGAAUAGCAAAAAACUACCAUAUUACGGGCUAUCGUUCCGGAAAACUAUCGCUUGUUUUAAUUUUUCAAAAAACUACCACAAAAGUGGCUGGCUGUUCCAAAAAACCCAAGUGGCCGAACGGUUAAGUUUUAACUGGGGUUAUGACAUGUGGGGCCCGCCCGUCAGGGUUUUGUCGGCCACAGUGCUCACGGCGCGCGGGUGACGGCCGUUAGGGCGCACGGCCCGUCCCGACGAGGUCAAAAUGGAUCCGGCCCUCACUCUGUCUCCCUCUCGCUCACUCACUCUCUCCCCCCUCACUCUCACUCUCCCCCCUCGCUCUGUUUCCCCUGGCCGAGCUCUCCAUCGUCGCUGACCACCUCAGUUCCUCGUCGCCGGCCAGGAUGCCUUCUUGGAAUGAUGGGGAUGAGAGCUCCGACGAUAGCAUGGGGGGCAACCUGAUGGACAUGGAGUACUUUGUAAGCCUCAUCGUCCUCCUCUCUGUCAUUAUCUAGGGUUAGGGUUGAAUCGAUUUGGGAAUGAGGGUUGAUGAGCUGUAUAUUUGUAUGCAUGGAUUCAUUUGGUUUGGUUAUCUAUUAGUUUUGAUCUAGGGUAUGGAUGGCACUGUGAUGUCUGAUCUGACCUUGAGCAAGGCAAAGCUUGACUCAAGUUGAACUAGUUGAUGCAUUGGUUCUGAUCUACCUUUUACUGCAUGUAGGACACACCUGACACCAUCCCUGAGCCACUCUGGUGUGGUGCUCCCAUGGAGGAAGUUGCCAAGUGUACUCUGCAUGAUAUGAAGCCUAGGAAGUGUGUUGCUUUUGAAGGUGCUAAGACUGGGAGGAGGUUCUAUGGAUGCCCUGUUCAGGUGAGUAAUUGAGUAUCCUGGGUGGAUUCAGUUAUGCCUAGUGGAUUCAGUUAUUCCUAGUGGUUACUGAAUUUGUACAUUAACUCUAUUUGAACUGAAUUUAGUACUGAAUUUAUGGUUACAUGUCCUCCUUGUGUACCAACCCUCUUUUUGAAUUGAAGUUAGAACUGAAUUUCUGCAUUUUCUGAAGUAUGUGUUCUCUGAUCAAACUACAGGGAGGUGUGAAUUGUGGUGUAGUUCAGUGGGUUGAUCCUGCCUGGCCUGAUGUACUUAAGAACUGCCUCAUCAAGUUGUGGGAAAUGUUCCAUGAGCAAAACCUUGGAAGGUUUCAAGACAAGCAUGCAUAUGAGGAUGAGGUUGCCAAGUUGAAGAAGGACUAUGAUCUGCUCUGCACUGAGUAUCAUAAAAUGGUUGAUGAUGUUAGCAAGAUGUUUGACUGGCAUGAUGGUGUUGGCAAGAUUGACUACCAAAAAGCAAUGGAUGCUGGGAAAUUUGAGAAGCAGAAGGAAGAGCUAGAGCUGGAGAUGAAGAUGGAGAAGCUAAGGCUAGCAAAAGAACAGAGGUGUAUCCUUCAGGCCCAGGCAGACAUAAUUCACAACACCAGGAAGGCAAUGAAAGAGAUAAAGGUGGACAGGGAUCUUUUUGCACAAGAGAAGACAAAGCUUGAGAAAGUAGUUGCUGAUCUGCUAAAUGCUGGCCAUGGGAGCAAGGAAAAGCUUGAGAAAAUCAAGGCCAUACUGGAGGCUUGAAGAUUUGGACAAUGGUGGUUAAGUAAGUAAGGUGGCCUACACAUAUAACAGGCCUUGCAAGAUGAUGGUAGGAGUAUAUUUUGUGCAGUCCUAUAUGAACUAUUUAAGUUAUGGUAACUAGAGUGGUGGAGAACCUUUGCUAAGUCUGGCUUAUGUUAUUGUACUGUUAAGAACCUAUCUAUCUUAAGUAAUGCAGUGAAGAACUGUUUUAUUUCUUUAGGUUGUUUUCCUGAAAGUAGCAAUGCUGAACUAGUAUAUUUUUGGGCCUAAAACCAUUAUGUACACAUUGUGGGCCUAGACUGGGCUGUUUUAUUACUCCACCUACCUACCACCAACCAUUAGUAGUCUAUAAAGCCCACCCCUUGAGUGAAACCGCAGUCAAUCCCCCCAUCCCCACCCUUCUCAACCCCCCAGCCGCCAAAGAAACCCUAGAAUCCAAGGGAGAGAUGGAUCCUGGAGAGGUCAUAGAUGGAGAAGAAGAGGUGCCCAGACAAGCCAGGCGCAGAGAUGCAAGGAGGAGGGCGAGAAGGCAACUUGCUGAGAUGAUCCUUGCAACACGCAACCGCAAGGACAUAAAGCAGUUCCUGGAGGCAUUCCCCCCUGGUUCCAACCCUAGUGAUGAUGAUAUCAUCUACUGGGCAAGGAGGAGGGCAAAUUUCCAUCCCUUUUAGGUCACUAGGCAAAGGUGGACUAGGAUUUUGUACCCAUGAUGCUGCUGUUAUGUUUCUUUGUUCCUAGAUCUGUCUUUCUAUCUAUGUGAUGUUUGAAGUUGGUGUAAGAACAAUGUUGAAUGAGCUAUGUAUGUGACGAAUCAAGUUGUCCAUGAUGCAAUGCAAUGUAUGAAGCUGGUGAAAGAAAAAUGUUGAAUGAUCUAUCUAUGUGAUGAAUCAAUCUGUCUAUGAUGCAAUUUAUGAGUGAAUCUUUUAUCUAUAUUUGUAUGUAUGAAUGAAUUGAUCUGGUGAUCUUGAUGUUUUAAGUUAGAUAUGUUAUGGUUUGUUCAGAUGGCCAUAUCUUGUUGUUUUAGGUUUGAUCUCUUAGGGUUUGGUGCCUAGAUGGGAAAAUCUUGAUGUUUUAGCUUUGAUAUGUUAGGUUUUGGUCCUAGAUAGCCACUUUGGGGUUGGUCAACAAGUAGCCACCCAAAGUGGCCAAAUUUGGGUGGCUUUAGGGUUGGUCGACAAGUUCCACCCCAAAGUGGCCAAAUGUGGCCACUUUGGGGUUGGUCGACAAGUAGCCCCCCAAAGUGACCAAAUUGACCUAAUCAUAUCAAUCAAUUAUCAACAAAAUAAAUCACUUGAUCUACAUAACAAUGCUCAGCAUAAGAAAUAAUUUCAUAUGAAACAAUUCAUAACCUAGGACAUAUCAAAUCAAAAUAAAGCUUGACAACAGAUAACUUAAUUGUUCCAAGCAGUUCAAACACAGACCAUAUAACUUAAUUGUUCCAAGCAGUUCAUACAUAGACCACAUAACUUAAUUGUUCAAAUGAAAAAAAAGUUCACUGCAAAUAACACAGAUAGCAAGCAUGCCUAGCAAGUAGAGUUCAAGGCAUAAAGCAUAGUUGAGUGCAACACAUUCAAUGGUUGCCACUGGCUGUGAAAUACAAAGCAAGUUUGCUUGGGGCCUUCCUCUUCCUCUUAGAACCAACAUCAGCUUGACCUGAUGUUGAUGCUGCCCUUGGAGCAUUGAAACCUCUUGCACUUGACCUGGUGUUCUUUACUGGAGAUGAUGCACUUGACCUGGUGUUGUUGGCUGGUGCUGAAGCAGGUGGUGGGUUCUUUCUCUUUCUUGAUCCACCUGUUGAAACUGCAGUAGAUGUGGUUGCCCUUGUUGUAGCAGAUGUGGUUGACCUUGUUGAAGUUGUUGCUAGUUUCCUGCCCCUAAGUGGUCCUAAAGCUGGAGCUGGACCUGAAGCUGGAGCUGGACUUGAAGCUGGAGCUGGACCUGAUGAUGUGGCCUGGUGGUUGUUUUUCCUUGUCAUAAACUUGGCCUUAAGUCCGUCUCCAUAGAUUGUCCACCUGUGGCCUUGCAGACCACAGUUACUGCAUGUUAUUGUGCCCAUCCUUGAUGUAUCCUUUGGAGCUGGCACCUCAAAUUCACCCUUUCUCCUAGCUGUCUGCUUCUUGCCUUUCUUCUCCCUGAAAACUGGUGGUUCUAUGUCUGGUGUGUUGGUGUUGGGCCAGAAUUCAGGGCCAGGGACAGGGUAGAUGAUGUGCUGGUAUGCAGCCUUAUACAUUGGCUUCUUAAAGAAUGGAUGCACAUAAUCUUCUGGGUGAACUUUUAUCUUCUGCAUUGCAGAUAUUGCAUGGUGGCAAGGUGAUCCAGUCAUGUCCCACCUCCUGCAAGAGCAGCUCCCUACAUCAAGCUUCACACAAUAUGUGUUCUCUCCACUAGUUACUUGCCAGAUGUUGGGACCAGCCAUGUUUGCUUCACAGUAUUUAGCCCACUUCUUGCUCUCCUCAAGCUUCUCCAUGUAAUCUGGGGUUAUUUCCCACCUACAGCUCUCUGUUUUCUCUCUGAUGCCCUGGUACUUAACCAUUAGUUUGGUCCUCAACCCUUCAAACAUGGUCUUAAUUAGUUUUGACCUAACAUCUAGAAUCAUUUUUUUGAAAACCUCACUAAGGUUGUUCACUACCAAGUCAGUCUUGCACACAUGAUCCAUUGCAUAUCUAGCCCAACACUCCUUAGGGAUGCCAUUCAACCACAUGUAGGCUGGUUCACAUGCUGCUUUCAAACCUGCCAUUCCUUCUUUGUGACCAUGUUUAGUGAAGGAAUAGCUAGCUUUGUCAACCCAUUUCUUAAGUUCUUCUGCUCUAAAGCCAGCUGACUGGAAGUUGGCAUAUAUGUGUCUUAGGCAAUAUCUUUGUGGGGAUUGAGGAAAUACUUCAUUAAUUGCUUUAAGAAGGCCCUGUUGUUUGAUUACAUAAGGUAGUAAUGAGAUAACUAUAGCAGCAUUGCUAUGUGCAUAAGAAUAAUACAGAGCCAGAGAAAAUACCUUCUGCCUGUCAGACAUGAUGGUGUAGUUUCCAAACUGGUUGCUGGUGCCAAUGCAGACUCUAAGUUGGUUUAAAAACCAGGUCCAGCUAGGCCCAUCCUCUUUGUCAACCACCCCAAAAGCAAUUGGGAACACAUUGUUGUUCCCAUCUCUCCCAGUUGCUACCAAUAUCUGUUGGCCUGUGGAUAACUUGAUGAAGCAACCAUCAAGUCUUGCAUAAACAGAGAUAGUUAGGGCAAAAUUGAAUAACUUGAUUACAUUUGUAACAUGAUUAAAUCACUGAUUUGUACCUAUGAAAGGCCUACAACCAGCAAGAAAUCCAUCUUUUGAUGCCUGGAGGCAAUAGAACAUGUACUUGAACCUUGGUGUGGGGGCUGGGUUCAAAGGAUCCUCAAAAGUUGUCACUAUGCACCUGCUUCCAGGGUUUGUGUCAAGCACACAUUGUAGGUAGUCCCUCAACCUCAGAUACUGCUUUCUAUGAUCACCUUGCACAACAUCAACAGCCAUCAGUCUUGCCCUAUAUGCCAAACUCCUAGGUACAUGCACCCCAAACUUCUUCUUAGUAUGUUUGAGAACUGUCUCUACAUCAGCCUUUACAUUUGAUCUAACUGUGUCCUCCACAGCUUCUGCAACCCAUUCAGCAGUAACCUUUGUACUCUCUCCACAAGCUCCACAACUAUGAUCCAUGUGGCACUUCUUGAUUGUGAAUGUAUCUUCAUGGGCUACUUUGGAUGCAGUCAUGAAAAAAUCACAUCCAUUCUUCCUCUCUGGGCACCAAACAAUAACCCUUGAUGGUUCAUUCCUAUGGUACUGAAAGUUUCUCAAAGUCCUAACAUGAAAAUUUCUCAAUGCCUUUCUAAACUCAUACACAUUGGUGAAGCAAAGGUCCUUGCACAGCUGCUCAUGUGCAUCAGGUACCUUUGGGUCAUACCAUUUCCUCUCUUUCUUCUUCUUCAAUCUUCUCUUCCUUCCAGAAGGUAGUCUUGGAGUCUCCCCAUCUGAGUCAGAAAUGCCCAUAUCACCAGGGAAGCAAUACUCAUCAGCUUCAAGUACAAAAUCUUGAAACUUUGGGAUCUCUGGCUGACUGUGAGCUCUGGAAGUUGGACCUGGAUUUGCUACUGCUCUUCUCACAGGCUUGAGUUUCUCAGGCCUGCAUUUUUCCACAACUAUUUCCUCUCCACUGUCUGCCUCUUUCUCCUCCUGCCAAAACUCUGAAACAUCACUGUCACCUUCAAACUGUGGUCUGUCUUCUAUAGCAUCUCUUUCUUCUUCAUUUCCAAUAUUUUCUUCACCUCUCUUCCAAGCCUUGUAAGACAUCUUUAUCCCUCUAUAGUCACCCCUAUCAAUCUCAAAGUCUGAGGAUGAUUUGUCAAUAUCAUCAUCCUCUUGACCAGCAGCCUGUCCAUCAUCAUCUCCACCAUUAGCUUCUGAAAUGUUGAAGUUACAGCUUUGCUGUGUGUUCAAAUUAACUUCAAGAGGGUGGACCACUCCAUCUUGUGACAGACUUAACACAAAACCAGGACCCCCCAGUGGGUUGCCUAUUGGAAUUUGUUCUUCACAAACAUUGUGAGCCCUGUUACAUUCAACAUCUCUAUCUUCAUUUGCCUUGGAAACAAUGAUAUUGAGCACUGUGAAAUCUAAGUGGUCUAUCAUUUCUUCAACUGCAUCUUGACUGUCCAAAAGAAAUAAACCUUCCUGUCCAAUCCCUUGUUCUUUUACCCAGUACAUGUAGUCAUCUGACCCAUAGCCUUCAGUCUCAGUAAGUGCUAUCAAGUUCAGAAAUGUGAUGUCUGAAACAGAAAACCUCCUUUCCAUAUUAUCUCUGCCCUGGAAAUGCAGCCUAACAUCCCAAACUUCAUCAUCUAGCCUGCAUUACAUAAUAUGUUAUUUGAAAAGCCCAACUAAGUAAGUGUUUUUGCUACAAAUAUUCAGUGCACACUACUAUAAAGUACAGUAAGGAAUCUGAAUCCAAAAAAUGCUUCUCUGAAUCCACCAUGCAUUUCUACUAAAUCUAACUAAUCCUUCAGUGCUAAGUGAUACUGUUGCAUCCAAAACAUGCCACAGAGUGUUUGCUCAACUAUUAUUCAGUGCAUGUUCAUGUUCUAAGAUGAAUCACAGCAGCAUCAACCUAGGGUUUGGUCAAAAAACUAACUAAAUUAUGCUAUGUUAUUUGAAAUGAACAAGCAGAAAUGCAGAAACUGUUGAAGGAGCUCAUAAGAGGAAAAAAACUUACUCCACCCCUCCAAAUGCAGAGGCCCAGUGCUGGGAGUUGGCCGGAUCUGCCUGCACAGCCCUAUCAAGAGACCUCGCUGCUCUGUACUCAAGCGAGAACUGGCAAUCAUCAGGCGACGGUGGUGUAGCCUGUGUCGUAGGAGCCUGCAUCAGAGCUGCAGCCUGUGGUGUCCGCUGCGGCGGCGGCGGCGCCGCCGGCUAGGUUGCGAAGCUACCACUCCCCAGCCAGUUAUCAACCUCUAAGAACUCGCCGCCUCCAUCCCCCCUUCCACCUCCACCCGUUGAAUGGCCGCCAUCGCCUAGUUUCGCCGCCGCCGCCGCCAUCGGAGAGGGAGGCGCGCACAAGAGAGAGGGAGACAGAGAGGGGGAAGACAGAGUGAGGGCGGGCCGGAUCCAUUUGACUUGGUCGGGACGGCCCGUGUGCCCUAACGGCCGUCACCCGCGCGCCGUGAGCACUGUGGCCGACAAAACCCUGACGGGCGGGCCCCACAUGUCAUAACCCCAGUUAAAACUUAACCGUUCGGCCACUUGGGUUUUUUGGAACAGCCAGCCACUUUUGUGGUAGUUUUUUGAAAAAUUAAAAAAAGCGGUAGUUUUCCGGAACGAUAGCCUGUAAUGUGGUAGUUUUUUGCUAUUUACUCCAAAUAAAUGCUUAAAAAGAGUGCAUCUAAUGGAGUAGUACAAAAUGGUAAAGAAAAUAAAUCAGCCACUAAUGGAGUAACAAAGGUGAUAGCACGGAGUUUGGUAGGCACCGACAAUGAGUAAGCAGGCUGAGGCCACCGGUGCACGAAGAGGAUCAGAAGCGCUGGUUGGGGCUGUGGUUUGGGGCGGCUGCGAUGAAACUUCUUAUUCAACGCUUAUAGCACCGUUUACAGUGUUAUCGGUACCUUUUUUUUGAGGGAAAGAGCCAACUUUAUUAAUCAAAAUCCACAGUGCGUGGGACACAACGAUGGUCAUGGGGCUGGCCAAGCCACACAUGACGCCCUGGUGGUAGCGAUAAAGAAAACCUAGCUAUCUCGUGAGCUUCAGCAUUCUGAGCUCGACUCUCAAAGGUGAAAUUACAUAAAAGUGGUGAUGAGCUCAUCUUUAUCUCUCUGAUUAUAGCUCCAUAAGUGCCAUGACUACCCAUAGCAAUGUCGCCAAUGACUUGUUUGCAGUCCGAAGCCACCACAAAACGUUGCACAUUAAGAUCUUGUGCUAGGGAAAUAGCCUCCCGACAUGCUAUGGCCUCCAGUGUCGCGGGGUCGCAAACUCCGACAAUGACAAGUGAUGAGCUCCCCAUAUAGACACCCUGGCUGUCACUGCAUAUGGCCGCGGCCGUGCCACCCCUCUGAAAUCUUACUGCCACGUCAACAUGAACCUUAGCAUAGCCAGCAGGUGGAGCCUUCAGCCUCUGAGUAGAAGCGUGGCCAGUAGCUGCAGAACGUACGUUGAUCUUUGCAGGGAGUGAGGCAGUAGCCAAAUCAGCCAUGAAGCGAGUUAUAAACUCCUUCGUCGCCCUGGGUGAUUGGAAUAUUGAUUCAUGGAUAGCUUUUCUCCUCGAGGUCCAGAUCGCCCAUAAGGUGACCGCCAGCAGAGUGAACUUCUCAUGUGUUAGCAUAUCCAUUAAUCCAAAGAGCCAGCUCUUCGCCCUCGUCUCCGUUGAUGCGACCAGACUGCAGCCCAAGUCCUCAUCUACCAACGCCCAUAUGCAUCUGGAGACUGUGCACUCCAGGAGGGAAUGACUCCAUGAAUCAGGAGAACCGCAGAGGCCGCACGAGCUAGUCGUUGACAUAUUACGAUGGGCCCUCACAUCCUCCGUCGGUAGUGACUGUUUUGAUAAACGCCAUAGAAACAUGCGUACUUUUGCUGGUACCACAGUUUUCCAGAGGGACUUCCAAGAGGCUUCAUCGACAUGGUUGCUGGAUGAUGCGCCGGAGCCCUCUAGCCACGCCUCUCGCCGUUGCUUCAUAGAUACCAACAUAUUAUAGGCUGACCUGACUGUGAAUUGUCCGGUUCUCUCGUGCAUCCAGCUCCAAAAGUCCUGCAUAGGAGCCGUACACAACGGGAUACCCAUGAUGAUUUUAGCAUCGAAAGGCAAGAAAGUUGCUUCCACCACAGAUCUCUUCCAUGAAGCAUUAGUUGCAUCGAUCAGUUCAGAUACUGUGUUGGGAGGAUUACUUACGCAACAACCAUACGGUCUCAUCAUCUCUGACCGGGGAAGCCAGUUUUCGGUCCAAAUGCUGGUGCUCGCCCCAUCUCCUAUCCGCUUGAUCAGUCCCAAUUUAAGAAUAUCCCGGCCUUCCACUAUGGCUCUCCAUAUCUGACUUGGAUGGUUCCCAAGUGUUGCCUCAAGUAUAGAUGUAUGUGGAAAAUAUACGCUCUUCAGAAUCCGUGCACUCAGAGACUCGGGGUCUUGUAACAUUCUCCAUGCCUGCCUGGCUAACAUGGCAAGAUUGAAAAGCUCAAAAUCUUUGAAUCCAAGGCCUCCCAUGCUUUUUGGUUGUGUCAUUGCUUCCCAAGAGACCCAGUGAGGUUUGCGUUGGCCGUUUGAGCUCCCCCACCAAAAUUUCCUUAUUAGCAUAUUGAGGUGCUCACAUAACCCCCUAGGUAGUUUGAAACAAGACAUGGAAAAUACCGGCACUGACUGGGCAACAGAUUUGACUAGUACCUCUUUUCCUGCCGCCGACAAAGUUCUCUCUAUCCAUCCCUGAAUUUUGCUCCAUAAUCUGUCCUUCAAAUAUUUGAAGGCACCGUUUUUUGAACUCCCUAUAUCAGAUGGCAUGCCCAGAUACUUCUCAUUCAAGGUUUCCUUGGGGACAUUGAACAUACCUUUUAUAGCAUUGCGAGUUUCCUCAGAAACGCCUUUACUAAAGAAAAUUGAGGAUUUGUUGUAGUUGAUUCUUUGACCUGAAGCUUGGCUAUAAAUUUCCAACAACUGGUUAACCUCUGUAGCACCCGCACUGUUGGCCUUGAAGAACAGCAGGCUGUCAUCAGCGAAUAGAAGAUGGUUAACUAGUGGUGCCUGCAGCGCCACCUGAAUCCCACCCAAGUUUGAUGACUCACUUUGUGAUUUGAAAAGGCACGACAUGCCCUCUGCUGCUAACAAGAACAAGUACGGUGAUAUUGGGUCACCUUGUCGGAUUCCACGUGAUGGGUUGAACUCCUCAAGUUUCUUUCCAUUGAACAUGACUGCGAAUUUUACUGAGGUAACCAUGCCCAUUACAAUAUCCACCCACCUUCUGUUAAAACCCAAUAUAAUCAUGAUGGCUUAGAGAUAAGCCCAUUCAACUCGAUCAUACGCCUUCAUCAUAUCCAAUUUCAGAGCACAUGAGUGAUUUUUCUUUUCCUUGUUCCUCUUCAUGAAAUGCAAUCACUCAUAUGCCGUUAUUAUGUUGUCUGUGAUCAAUCUCCCCGGAACAAAGGCUGAUUGUUCAGCAGAAAUUAUAUCUGGCAGUAUCUGUUUGAGUCUGUUGGAGAUUACCUUGGACGCUAUUUUAUAGAGCACGUUACAUAAACUUAUGGGCCGAAACUGGGCAAGGAGUGUGGGGUUUUUGACCUUGGGGAUGAGAACCAGCACCGUAUUGUUAAUGCAUGCUGCUGACUCUGUCCCGUCCACAAUUUUGAGUACCACUUUCGUUACAUCUGCACCGCAUACAUCCCAGUGGCGCUGAAAGAAGUGAGCGGGGAAUCCAUCCGGGCCAGGGGCUUUGAUUGGAAACAUUUGGAACAACACACUUUUCACUUCAUCGUGUGUGUAAGGAGCAUUCAGACGAUCGUUCAUUGCCUGCGUUACUUUAGUAGAUACUGACUCCAGUACCCUAUCCAUGCCCUGUACUCCCUCGGUUGUGUAUAAGUUUUUGUAAAAUUCGGUGGUAAGCUCCUCCAUCUCCUCCCUGUCCUCGGUCAGCUAUCCAUCCGAUCGCUGCAACAAUUUUAUCUGGUUCUUCCGGCGGCGGCGGCUCGCUCGCAGGUGAAAAGAAUAAGUGUUUUUGUCACCAUGGACCAGCCAAUCCAGUCGAGCGCGUUGGCGCCACAUCAAUUCCUCUCUAUCAAACAGUUCGACCAGUCUGUCAGCUAUCUUGGUUUCAGUGUUUGUCGGUCCCGUCCGUCCUGGCGCUGAACGCAUGACCUCAAGCUGGCGUUGGAGUUGGCGAAUCUCCAUACGCACCGAUCCGAAGUUGUUGCGGUCCCACGCUGACAAAUCUCCCGCCAGGUUCCCUAGUUUUGCAUGUAUGCCCUCAACCGAUUCUCCAUCCUGCAGACUCCAGCUAUCACGCACAGUGUCAAACAGUGUUUCGUCCCUUUCCCACAUCGUCUCAUAUUUAAAAGCCUUGUGGCCCAUUUUGCAUGCAUGCAACUCACGUAGCUGAAGAAGAAUAGGAAUGUGAUCUGAACUAGCAGCACUUUUGUGCGAUAGCUGUGAUGAUGCGAGGGCGAGAGUCCAUUCUGUAUUUACCAGGCACCUGUCCAGCCUAACCUGGGUGUAGGUGCCUCCUGUGACCCUUUUUUCAAAUGUCCAACUAGUGCCAGAGUAUCCAAUAUCUGAUAACCCACAUGUAUCAACUGCUUCCCUGAAUGCUUCUAUUUGGGCUUGGCUUCGUUGUCCCACACCAUCAUGUUCAUGGCUGUGAAGAACCUCAUUAAAAUCUUCCAUGACUGCCCACGGUCUGUUCUGCGUCUCAGCAAUACCGCGCAGGGUGUCCCAUGUUUUGUAUCUCUCUGGUACCUGGGCUUCGCCAUAGACAAAGGUAAUUCUUACCUGCAAAUCAACUAAGUCAUCAACAAGAAUAUCAAUGUGAUACUUUGAGUAAUCGAUAACUUCCACUUUUAUUUCAUCGUUCCAAAAAAUUCCAAGUCCACCACUUCUACCGGAACUACUAACUGCAAAGCUUUUAUUGUAGCCUAUGCUAUCAGCCAUACUCUCAACCCUCUUUCCCUCUAUUUGAGUUUCAAGAAUACAAACAAUAGAGGGGGCAAACUGCCUCGCUAGAUCGUGAAGCUCUCUAACUGUCGCGGCUUUGCCAAUCCCGCGAAAGUUCCAGCAAAGAAGACUCAUUGCGCUAGGCGCGGCCCCGCUUCGGAGCCCGCCACAUGCGCAUCAGGGUUUUUGGUAGAAACUGUGCUCUUCUCCAGAGCUGACUCAUUAGACGAGGUUGACUUCAAUCUUUUCAGAUCCUGCUUGGGAGGAGGGCUAAGGGGCACCGCAGGUGAUGGCAGAAACAGUUGCUUCGUCUGUUGUACCGAAUAGGUUGGGAACGUGGUUUUUGGAUCAUGUGCCCCUCUCUUCCUGUUGCGAUCAACCUCAGUCAUUGCUACAUCUCCGUCUCGCUGAUCACGUUCCUGGUGAUGUUGAUCAUCAAACGAGUCUGCACUAUUGGGCGAUCGUCCUCUUCCUCUUCCCCCACGGCCUCUGCCGCGACCUCUCCCUGCAUUGCUGCUCUCGCCUUGAUAUCUUUGAAGACCAGAGUCUUUGGGGCAUGAACCCCGUCCCCGCACUCUUUGUGUUGGUGACCUAGAUGUCCACAAACUGCACACCAGUCCGGCAGUCUUUCAUAUUUGACUCUAAAGAUGACUCGUUCCACCGAAUCCUUUUUCCUUAUUACCAGUGAAACAACGUUCUUCAAAGGUUUAGUGACAUCGAUCCUGACUCAAACUCUAGCAAAGUUACCUUCAAAAUCCGGGGAUCUAGGCUCUGCAUAUAUGAAUUCUCCCAUAGUAGCAGACAUAGCUUUGACCUUAGAAAAGAAGCCAUCGGGCAGGUCGUGAAUCUGGAUCCAAAUUUCCAAUUUGUUGAGCUCUAUAGACGACGGCUUUGUGAAGCCAUCAUACUCUGCCAGAACUACUGCUUUCCCCUUGAAAUUCCAGGGGCCAUCUCCCAUAACCCUCUCCCAGUCACCCAGGCACGAGAAUUGCAUUGAGUACAGAUUAUCUUCCAGUGGUCUGAUCUUUACCUCUUGAGCUAGGUCCCAGGCCACUCUCAUAUUCCUAUAAAACCAAUAUUGGCUGUAUGUUUUCUCCGUGUGAACCCUAGCCAACGCCAUCCAGCGUGUUUCUUCCUUCGGCAGCUCGGUGUCUUCCACCACAACAUCAAUCAGAUCAUCUUCUUUCAGUCCAAGUUCCUCCAUCAUCGCAGCCAGAUUGGACGCAGUUGUACUUGAUCCAGAUGCAGUCGAACUCAUCAUGCGCUCGCUCGAGGUUAGGGUUCCGCGAGCGGUAGGUCCCAAGGAGUCACCACCCGCCCAGAACGCCGCGGCGGCCGAAGGCCACAGCGAUCGCCGGAAGGGGGUUAACAUCCGGGGAGGAAAAGUCCCUACGGUGUCGGCGUCGCCGUCGCUCGAGGGAAGAGAAAAACCCUAACGAGAGGGGAAACUUAGGAGGGAGAUUAGUGUUAUCGGUACCUGCCGCCCACACUACUUUAGAUAGCUAAUUGUAACUGGGCUGGCCCAUAUGUGUGAGCCCUCCUCCAUUACCGGUUGUGAAGGAAUUUCCUAUUCAACGCUUAUACCAUUUGUUAUAGUGUUUUCCUUUUGUUACAGUGUUAUCCGGGGACCUCCUACUUGGUCACCUGCGCGCAAAGUAGGAGGGAACGUGCACCCUUGGCUCCCAUGUAAGAGUUUUUCCCGCCCUAUUUUUAUUAUUUCAUUUUUAUGCCUUUUGUUUUUUCAUUUCUGUUUGUGUUUUUCUUCUUUAAAUAAUGUGUGGUUAAAAAAAUUCCCAAUUUCAAAACAAUACCAAAAUUGUUUGACAAAUCAGGAAAUAUUUGUGAAUUAAAAAUUGUUGAUGACUCUUCACUUCAGUGUCUCGACCCACCGGAACAAAAGCCGUGUGUACAAAUUGUGUUCGAAGCUUAUCGUAAACUGGCUUAGCAAGUGUAGUCUUGCCAAGUCUGCCUGGUCCAACAAUUGAGACCAUCUUCAUCUUGUGCUGCUGUUGCUUGAGACCAUGUGUGAGCCUCUUGGUUAGCUUGUUCCAUGCAUCUUCAAUGCCAACGAGCUCUUUCUGAUCAUUGUACAAAGCCAAUACACGAGGGUCAACCUUCUGUUUGCUAGCUGGAUUAGGAACAUCAUUGACCCUGUAUCUGGCACGCCGGCCAGCCAUCUCUUGAGAGCGGUUCUUGAUGUACCUGAUUGCAUCUCCGAUCUGAUGGCGAGUCUUGCCUUUUGUGAACAAGUUGGCCAUCUUCCCUACCUAUCAUUUGAUCAUGUUUGAGUUGGGGACGGCAUCAGAUUCAUAUCCCUCGACGGACACUAGGAAGUUAUCGAUGACAUCCUCCAUGUCAUACGACAGCUCCCUUUUAGGGAUUCAUGUCCCUUGGAAUCUCCGCCACCUUUACGAGGGCAGCGUUCAAGCUCUUCAUGUCCCUCUGGAGGGACUCGACGUACCGAAUAAAUGGGAGUUAGAGGACAGGAAUCUGUUGUAGGAAAGACAAAGGAAAUUGUUCUCCAUCGCCGUCCGGUUCCACUGGGAAAAAAUUACAUCCACUGCAACACCAAGACCGCAUGCUUACCGAGUAGUAGUAGAAGCAGCAGAGCUGAGUAAGGCACCCACUACCGAAUGCAGGGAUAAAUCCAGCACCAAGUAAGCAGCUCACAAGUGAGAGACGGCAUGCGCUUUGCGAACGGAAGGACAGGAGCAGAAAACAUUUUGGGAGAAAGAUCGACGUGGCUCAGAAAAUUGAAGGCGGUCUACUCCUCCUGAUUGAAGCCGGCGACUACACAAGCGCCAUGGUUUGAUGGAGCAAGAGAAAUGGUGUUGAACCCCCAACUCGUUCCAUUUCUAGCAGAAAAGUAGGGCAAUAAUUGAGUGGUGGUAUGUUAUUAGUGCUGGUAAUGGAGUAGGAAGCACCCUAGAAGUGCACCAACUAGUACAUCAAAAUACUCCUGCCAGUGGCGGUGGUAGAUCAUUCAUGUGUACUACUCGAUCGUAACAAGAACAAUUACAUGAACCAGCUUGUGCCACUAGUAAUAAUAUUUAGCUUAUUUUUACAUUAAGUUUUGCAAUGAAUAAUAUUUAGGUUAUUAAAAAGACUAUAGUUUAAUGGAUGGCCCAGAUUUGGAAAUAUUACUGCAGAUUUUUGGUAGUAAUAGACUUGCUUCACUUGUCGAUUUAUAUGAUCUGUCGCUUUCAGCGACGUUUGGGGCUGUGAUUUGGGUUUGUUGUCAUUGAAAUUGCACAACUAUAGAAACUGGAUUCUUUUUUAUUAUUAUAGUGAGCACAAGGAAUCAUGUUACUAGUUGAAUUCAUAGAAAAAGACUCCAUUCAGACUCUGUCCUGCUCCAUGAAAAUAUCCUAUCAGAUAGACGCAGAGCGGUACAUAUACAGACUCAGGUUUCUUGAAAUCUAAUGCAACCAAGUCUUGUACAAUGGUCACAUGUUAUGUGACCUGAACCAAUUAUGGGUUUGCACUUGAUAAUUCCCGCACGAACCACAUGUAAACAUGGUUCGAAGGCUUGAAUAACAAUGUAAAAUUGAUGUCAAGUUUUCCCGACUUGAUUCCUGUCUAGGUUGGAGUCAUCAGUCUACUUGAAGCACUCGUUUUUCUCAUCUACGUUGGAGGACUGAUUGGAGCAUGAAUUAGUUGAGGAGAUAGAAACCCAUUUUUGGCGAGGGAGAGGACAGAAACCCAUGACACAACAAGGUUUUCAUGAUCAUCAUUGGCUAACUUCAAAGUUCCAACAGAGUGCCAACUACCAAGUGAGUAGCAGUACAAGGCACUGUUCAGCUGAAUCAAUCUUUACAACAUUAACCUAUCAUUCACUGGCGUUUCAUACCCAGAAUUGACUCUUAUAACAGUACAGAAGCAAACCCCUACUUCGAGUCAGUGUUGCUCUGUACUUUUUUUAACGGAGGUUAUAACUACGGCCUCUUUAUUUAUUAUUCAGCGGCCAUCUUUAUUUAUUAUUCCACCAAAGUCUAACAAAAACAUACAUCAAGCUACUCGAAGACAUCACUCACACCUACAAAACUCGAAAAUGUAGAGUGCUCUCACACUCCUCAUAUCUAAACCGGUAUCGUCGCUGAUCCAUCCACAUAACGUGUCGGAACGAACAGCCAGUGCAGCAGACCUAAAGCGCACACCACAUGCACAUGUUUUAGACGCCGCCAUCAUCUGCAGACCGCUGACCCAUCUUCAGGAGAGAGAUCCACAUCAUCCUUGCCAGUCCGUCCAUCCAGUCCCUCCCUCCUCUCGGCCUCCCUAUUAUCCCUCCUCACCCUCUGCUGCUGAUCUGUGGCGGCCUCUCCAAUAGCUCUGUGGCCUUCUUUCGCUGCCGCACCGGCCCGAGCGUUGUCGCUUGCAAGCCGUCCGGAGGCCACAAUGGCGCUCUCCCGUCGGGACUUUGCCACAUUCCAGCAUAUCAGUUGCUCUGUCAUGGGGAUCUGUCCUGCUCCUAGCCGUGUCUCCCGCGAUGGUGGUAGACCUGACUUGUACUACAAUGUUCUUUGGUCGCACGGCUGGCCACGGCGGUUUGCUCCGUUCCUUUGUAUCUAUGUUGCAGCUUCAAUUGUGUUAUGCAUGUCAUGGAUGUAUUAUAAUUCUGGGAUGCAUGUAAUUGUAUUGCUAUGAAUCUUAAAAUUGCUAGGUGUUCCAUGAACCAAUGAAUAUGCUAGAAAAUAUUACUCUGUCAUAUAUAUGUUAGAAAAUGUUCUCGUCGGGCCGGGUUUCUCUGCCCUAGAGAACAUAUUCUACAUGUUAUAUGCGACAAUGUAGUGAUGAAUAUUUCACCGGAAAUAGUGUAAAUGCAACCAACUCCCCCAUUAGGAGACAGAGUGGAAUAUUGUUUGACGAUAGACUUGGUUUAUGCAUAUUCGACGCACGUUUGAAUUUUUUCUCCCGAGCCACAAGAAAGCUCCUCGCGCGACCGCGUCCGUCCCUCAUGGGCGGCCGGCCGCGCUGUCCAUCCCUCCUUCCCAGCGCUCUCCCCCACCCUCUCUCUCCCCACCGUUGCCGGGGUGCAUCCCCGGGCUCGGCUCGGGCGGCGCCGGCGGUGCGGCCCACGGCUUUCCCCCCUGCGGCAGAUCCUGUGCGGGGCGGCGCUGCUUAAGGAGGUGCUCUCAGGUGGCGAUGGUUCGGCGCUGCGGUGGGCUGGUUCGCCGCUGACUUCGGUGGUCAGAGGCGGAGGAGCUCCGCGGCGGCGCGGGCUGGUGGCGCCCGUUCGGCCCAGAUCUGGGCCGAGGCGGGCCGGCAGCUCCGAUUUGUGGUGUAUCUUCCUGGAAGCGGCGGUGGGGUGUCUGGAUCCUGGGUGGUGGCGGCAUCGUUGCCGGAUUGUGCAGCGUGGCGGUGGAGUCUUUGCGGGAUCGAUCUGAGCCCGGCUAGGCCCGGGUGGCCUGGUUUGCCUCCCGCCUCGGCGUCCGGCUGGCUACCGCGAUGGCGUUGGAGGAACUGGCCUCUGGCGCGGCGUCGGUGGAGGUUGUCCCCUCCCGCUUGGCUGCGGUGCUGCCACCCCCGGCUCCAUGCGUUCUCAUUUUCCGUCCUCUAGGCCUCGCGGUGGUGGCCUUAGUGAGACGGCGUGGGUGGCCUCAAGACCGCGGUGGCGAAGGAGGGUGGGUGGCGUGUUGGGUGGAAGACUCCGGAGCGAUUGGGUAGUGUGCACAAGUGUUAGAAUCCUAAAAGGUAAAUAGUUUCUUAAGAUCUGAAGCAAGUGUUGGAAGAUUCUGCUGCCUCUAGAUACACAACAAAUGUCCACAUGUUGCUUCUUGGAGAAGCCGAGAGAGCCUUGAGCGGAGUGUUUAACCUUAUGUAUGAUAUUCUUAACUACCAUUUGUAUUAAAUGAACCAAUAAACAUUUUAUGUUAAUUGUCUUGACAAAUUUUGCUGUGUGCAGACUUACAUAUUAGUGGCACUACACAAAAAAAGAUGGCUAAGGGGUUUAUGAAGUAGGAUAGAGAUUGGUGAGAAAAUAUGUGCCCUCUCUCUCGUUUGUAAAGAGGUUCAAAUGUUAUGUGUGUAGCUUUUGCUAGUAUUCUCGAAUCGUUGGCCGUGAAUUGUCAAUUGUGUAAAUGUACAUGUGAAUUGUCUUAUGAAAAACAAUGUGCAACUGAGUGAUUAUGCCUGUGUAUUGUGUUCAUGUCUUUCUGUAAAUUUCGUUUGCAUUGCUGGUAACAUACUGAAAUGAAGUGCAUGCAUGCAAUGGUGAAAUGAAUCGGUACGAUCGACUGGCUGGCGGUCCAAACUAGUACACUAUCACUGACCGGUUAGAUUGCGGGUCUAUGAUGAGCAAGUCAUCACAAACCCUGAUCCACUGACAGACCAGCAACUAGUUAGUGAUGAUGAAAUUUGGCCGGUAAGUGUUAUUCGGAUUUGUAGUANNNNNNNNNNNNNNNNNNNNNNNNNNNNNNNNNNNNNNNNNNNNNNNNNNNNNNNNNNNNNNNNNNNNNNNNNNNNNNNNNNNNNNNNNNNNNNNNNNNNNNNNNNNNNNNNNNNNNNNNNNNNNNNNNNNNNNNNNNNNNNNNNNNNNNNNNNNNNNNNNNNNNNNNNNNNNNNNNNNNNNNNNNNNNNNNNNNNNNNNNNNNNNNNNNNNNNNNNNNNNNNNNNNNNNNNNNNNNNNNNNNNNNNNNNNNNNNNNNNNNNNNNNNNNNNNNNNNNNNNNNNNNNNNNNNNNNNNNNNNNNNNNNNNNNNNNNNNNNNNNCUCGGGUUUCUGCCCCUUUAUGAUAUAUGAGAAAACUGAACGAUUCAGGUGAAACUAGUCAUGAUAAUAAUUAGCAAUUCUAGUAUUUUAACACACAUAUCCCAAUCACUAUAGUUUUUUCAAACGACUAUUUUAACAACGCAUCUACGAUUCAUAGUAAAAUGUGACAUUGUAUACUGUAAAAUUUCUACAAUCUACAAGGUCAAAUUUAUUGUAAAUGUGACCACAACACCAGAUACACUAGAAAUAAAGUAAAACCCUAAAAGUCCCAUGCUAGCUAGACUACUCUUGGUUGGCUAGAAAUUAGGAGGGAGUACCCAGAUGCCAGUUUGAGCACGAGCUGCUACAUAAGAUCCCGCUGAUUUGAUCCUCUGUGUGACAUUGUCGCUACUUUCAUCUUGCAUAGGAUAUACACGGUUACCAUUGCCAUCAAAACUUGCCAAGUAUGUCAUAUCAUCAGCGUAGAUGUGGUUUCUCUGCACCCUGUCGCGCCCAACCACCGGCACGUCAACCGCCCUGGACAUUUUCCCCAAAAAUAAGGCGGAGUCACCCAAGGUCCUUACUUCCUCCCACUUACGAGCAUACUUUGUCAUCGAGUCAUCAUCCAACACAUAAACCUUGAAGAAAGGCUCAGGGCCGGUGUGGUAUGAUGGGAAUUUCCCCAGUACCAUCGCUAGCUUCCCUUGCAGCUCAACAAUGUGAGUCGACCAUGUGAAAGGUUCACUAACAAUCUUGAUAUGCAACUCGGCGUCAAUGGCGAGCAGAGGCCUGCCAUAUUUGUUCGCGCCUAUGUUGAAUUUGAUCAGGUCAUUGGAGAAUAUUAUAUUAAUGUCAAUUUAAUAUUAUACUAUGUGUCGUCAAUUUAAAAGGCUCCUGCCGUCAUGCCUUUGAGUAUUAUAUUAAUGUCAAAUUGUUUAAAUGCUAGUAAUUAGUUAACUUAGAAGCAAACUGUUUAUUGAUAAAAUGCUAUAGUAUAAUUAAGGGAGUUUUUUUUUUGAAAAAUAAUAAUGUUAGAUAUAUGCUGAUGCAACAAGGGCAUGAUUUUAUUUGUUAGCAAUACUAAUAAAAAAGUUCAUAGAAAAUAAUUUUAUACUCCCGAGGGUUAUACACAUAGUUUAAUUUGUUAAUUGUUAAAAAGUUAGCUAUACAACUAGCUAUAUAUUUGUAAAUACUAAUUAGUAGUGUAAAAAAGCAGGAACGAGCACCCGCCUAUGAUACCUUGAUUUACCAACACAAAACGUGCAUCUUGUGUGUAUGAUUGUGAAAUGCACGUUGUGUGUGGAGUUUGACAUCUAAUUUUUAACCCGCUGUUGGUCUUUCAUAUAGAGGAAUGUCUCGCUGUGCUUCCACGAGUCCCUGUAGUUCGCUACGGCUCAGAAACACAGUGUUCGGACGUCAGAUACACUAAAGUUGCACUAUGACAACCAUUGUACAAUCCAGCCCGCCUCAGUUAUAUUAAUAAAAAUAUCGAUCCGAGAACUUUAUCAUGUAUCUGGUUGCGACAGACGCAUAUACGUUCGAGAAAAAGGAGAUAAAUGGUCCUGCGAAGGUAAGGUGGCAGCUAUCGGUGUUCUAGUACACAAGACAACCGAACGCUACACACAGUACUACAAGUCAGUAAUAAAUAGAGUCUGGCGACUACUAGGCUGGCAUGACAGUGCUGUCGAGCGACUCGCCGAUGUGUAUGGCAAUGUGGAAAAUGCAUCCCAUUACUUCUCAUCUCCGCUCCUCUUUGCUCGGUUUGUCCAAGAAGCGGAACACACCACUCAUGUCGGCCUACAUGGCAUAACAUGCUCGUGGAGAAACUAUGNNNNNNNNNNNNNNNNNNNNNNNNNNNNNNNNNNNNNNNNNNNNNNNNNNNNNNNNNNNNNNNNNNNNNNNNNNNNNNNNNNNNNNNNNNNNNNNNNNNNNNNNNNNNNNNNNNNNNNNNNNNNNNNNNNNNNNNNNNNNNNNNNNNNNNNNNNNNNNNNNNNNNNNNNNNNNNNNNNNNNNNNNNNNNNNNNNNNNNNNNNNNNNNNNNNNNNNNNNNNNNNNNNNNNNNNNNNNNNNNNNNNNNNNNNNNNNNNNAAGACGAUGAAAAUUGAGUAAACACAAAAGUAAAGUAGCCGGUCUCAUUAUCAUUAGAAGACGAUGGCAACUACUGCAUGCACCCAUACAUUCUUGGAUCGCUAUAUUUGGCUUAUUCGGUCACAAACCGACGACUUUGCAGCUGCUACAUAAACAACGCUACUCUGGAUCUUAGGGAAAAAUGUUUGGAGACGGAUAUUGAUAAAGGAAACCGAGGAGAGUUGGUGAUGUGAGUCUACUCCAUCGUGCAUGCUACCUACAUGGACAAGCACAUCCGACCUGGCACAGCCUCGAGUUUCAUUAUCCCCUCUUGAUCCCUCUGAUGUUUCCUCUUUCUCUUCAUCAUCAUCUUCACAUCCCUCAAUGUGCACGUUUUUGUGCCUCGAUUUGAUUGGUUCAACUACUUGCUGGCUAUCCUCAGAGUGGUCAAUUUUUUUGGUGUUCGCGAGGAGUCACCAGUACAAGCAUGGUACUGAUAUGUCAUACAUGACCGUGGCAUUUGUACUUGUAGUUUCCUUUCAUUUUUCAUUUUCCUUUUUAAACGCAUACUGUACUUUCUUUACUACACGAUAAUUAAUAUACACUGCACAUUUUUGUAGUAUACGUCAAACAAAUUUUUUAAUUGUAUGAAAACAUAUUUUAUAUUCACACUAUUUUAAAAAAAUAUAGUGAAUAUUUCUAAAUACAUCUAUAAUUUUUUAAUACACAAUGGACAAUUUUUUCAUGUACACAUAACACUUUUUAGUAUAUGAGGAACAUUUGAAAUAUACGGCGAACAUUUUCUAUAUACCCACUAAUAUUUUUAUAAAUGCUGAACAUUUUAAAAGUACACGUUCAUUUUUGUGUUUUCACAAACCAUAGAAAACCAAGAAACUGAAGUAAAAUGAAUAAACGAAAAAAAACAGUACCGGACAGCUCCGUCGCUGCAAAAAUAGGUCUGCACGUCUUAGUGGGCCUACCCAUUCAGAGUCACCUAUGCGUAUCCUCAACUUUUUCGACAACGGGUGCCUUUUAUUUACUUAUAAUGUUGCAUCGAGGGAUACAAUCAUAACAAGCACACACCCAAACUAUGUAUAACUAGCAUACACACUGCGAACACACAUAAAAAAUCACACUGGCAAAUAACAAAGUCAAAUAAGACAAGAACUAUGGCUAGACACAUACAGAAAACGAAGGAAAGAAGAAGAAAUCCCGAGGCGACCAAAAGAGCAUACGUGAGUGAUCAUAUGUGCCAACCAUCUGAACUACUGCGUCAACUAGGAGGUCUCGCUUCUAAGGCCAUCAAUAAUAUUAACGAUGGUUCCAUAUAAAAAAAGAAUAUUAACGGUGGUAGCAGGUGCGAGAUCUUAAAUUAUCAUUUUUUAAGGCCGCUCCAUCGUUUUUGUUCUGCACAAGUGGCUCCCCUAGCCGUAACCCCACCCACUGGUUAUGUAGUUCUUUAAGAGAAAAUCGAUGACACAUGCAAGCAACAAUUUUGUAUCUUCUGUCAUUUGUUUAUACUAUGCCAUCACGAGGAGAUUGCACUUAAAAAGACAAAUUGCAUAUAGGAUAGUUAAAAAAGGGUUGUUUUCUGUCGUGGAAAGGUUGAUUCUAGUAUGAGUAUUCUCUUGGUAUCCGUUCCUUCAUGGAGAAGAGAAGGUGAUUUUCUCUCGCCGCCCCGUCAAUUGAAAUUAUACAUGUUCAAUGAUGACAUGAAGGUUAAUUUCACACCACUCAUUCAUUGUGCUUGCCUUGAGUUCCCUUCAAGGAUAUACCGUGGCAUUCCCGCCUCAAAGAGCUUUUUCAAACCCCUUUCUCAAGAUGCACAACUCAGUCAUUGUUAUCUUGUGUAGACGGGUUCAUCCAACAGGGUAUAAGAUAACACGAUGGACUGAACUGAAGAGAAAAGAAAAAAAAAAUCAUCUACUAAGCCUUAAGCAUUAAACAAGCUUGGAGUGUUGGUCAGCGUGCGACAUCAUUCAAGAAUUUUGUGGACCUACGCUGACCCAAUGAACUUGUGCCCUAUCCCUUGAAGAAAUAUCUCAUCAAUUAUGAAUAAAAAUGUUUGAAGCAUAGAAGUACUCAUGUUUUGACAACAAUACGACCCAUUGUCAUAAACUCAUAAUAUCCCCAAUUUUUACUCAUGAAAAUCAUGUUUGCAUCCCUUUUUGACUCGUUACAUUGCAAUUGUGUCCCAAUUAGAUAACAAUAACACUAAUGAUUGAGCUUGCCAUUGGUAUUCAGUUAUGUGUACACACACAUCACCUUAUGGGUAUUUCACACGAGAAGAAAAUUAGAGGCGAUUUAUUUGCAACUAACAGGCGCUUGCCGCCUCCCAUUGGCUCGCUGCUUGCCAACAAGCAUUCGAUUCCAUUCAACUGAAUUUAAGAAAAAUGGUCAGCAUGUUGGCGCUGUACUGUGUUGGGUUCGUUGAUUGCAUCCAUAUAUAUAAGCAGUCCAUUCCAUUCAACUCAAUUCAUCAACUGCAUCCAUAAUAAAUAUCAAAAAUUCCCCAUGGCACACAACGUGAUUUGCUUGCUUCUUGAUCGGAUUAUCAAACACCGGAGGGGUGUCUUCCUGUGUGAGGGUGGCCGAAACAAACUCGGCAAUUGCAGACGCUCUGAACUCGCCAUCUGCAAUACACACAGUACAUUGUUAGCCAAUUUAACAGUCAAACCAACUCGGUACAUAGAAAUGGAAAGGAGAAGCUAAAACAAGUUUACCAUAUACUGUUAACUUCGCCUCUUUUUUCUUGAGCAGGACUAGUGAUGGGCGCUUUGCUUGCGGGUCAACAUGGAAAAGCUUGGCUAUAUCAGGACUGGUAGUCUGGUAGAUGUUGACAGCCCGGUACAAGCUGUUGAAAUCUUCCAGCCUUGAGGCAGCAGCAAGCUCUUCGGUGUGAGCACCCUAUAGCAUUUGUUGAUAAGAGUAAUCAAUUUUGGGCCACAUGUGCGGUGCAAUUGCAGCAAUUCGGUUGGAUGGUAGACUUUGCUGGGAUUGGAACGUACCGAAAGGGAGUCGAGGAAAGCUAGCACGGCUACUUUGCCGCCGGUGAUGAUCUUCUCGGCCUCGUCGAUGGUGGUGACGUUCUGCACCUCAGGGCCCAGCCUCUGGGAUAUCCAAGUGACCAUGGCGUCCCUGCAGCAGUGGAAAAUUCGCCACCAUGAGGGAUGAAAUAUAAGACCGUUUAGAUCACCAAAGUAAUCUAAACCACGAACAAAAAAUAAGAACAAAAAAUUUGAAUGGAACAUUUCCUGAAAUUCACAAACAUUUCUUAAAAACAUGAAUCUUUCUAAACCACGAACAUUUUUUAAGUUGUCAACAAGAACAUGUUUUGAAGAUUCAGAAGAGUUGUAGUAAUUUUUUUCUUUAAUGCAAACAUUAUUUUCAAUUUUUGAACAUAUUGUGAAAACAACAAUAUUUUUAGAAUUUGGAAUAUUUUCAAAAUGCAUUUUUCUAAAUAUUGUUUUUUAAAUACAGUUAUUUUUUAACAAAUGGCAAUAUUUUUUAAAUUUUGAAAUACAUUUGGCAGAACUAAAAAAAUUCCAAACAUUUUUAGAAUAGGAACACAUUUAUGUAAUUCGUAUAUUUUUAUGAAUUCUUGAAUAAAAAUGAAAUUGCGAUAUUUUCCGAAAAUUUUGAAUUUCAGAAAAUACGUAGAAAAUAGACUUAGAAUGUGAAAAGUAAAAAAUAAAUACGAAACAAAAAGAGAACUAAGCAGAAAAAUAAAAAUGGAAACCGAACACAAGCAUAAAUCGGCCGCUGAGUUUUGGGCGCCUUGUGCGUACCUGAAACUAUUUACCGCCUUGUGCGGGAAAUAGGAUUUUUUGUUGCUACAUGGGCAGGAAAAAAUGGGCUGAAUUUACGGGGCCAUAGUGCGCGCGGCCCAUGUACGAAAUUUUGCACAAAUUGUUUUUCCUUUGCUAAUAGACGAACAUAGAAAGUUUAGUACCACCUCGGAAAGAAAAACAAUAAUUUUUUGGCGGUGAACGGAUAAAAAAAUCGGAGAAACGCACCUUGCUUUAUUAGUAGGUAUAUAUAGAUAUUGAUAUAGAUAUAGAUUGCUCAAGGUGAAAAGCUAAGGCUAUCCUCUUAAGAAAAAAAACGAAGUUAUCUUCCUCGAAAGAAAAACAAAACUAUGUUAUAUAUCCUCCUCUCAAUCAACAAAAUCACCUCUCCUCGAGCAAGCCAACUCUGACUGCACCAUGGGUAAACGUCAAGAUCCCUCCGAACGAUACACGAGAACCGUCUCGGCCACUGCCAAACAAUUGGCCACAAGCUUCGACAACAUAGCAGCUUGGAUUUUGCCGAUGAACUUUGCUGGGGAAAAUUGUAAGCCUCGCACCGAUCUAGUCCAGCGCAAUCUCUGGAGAGCAGCGUCCACUGAAACCAUCUUCAUGGAGUCAUCGUUUCCGCAGGCGCCCCUCCACACACAGCUUCAUCUUCUUUGUUACAACAAGAAACAAGCAUAGGCACACCCAUUGGCACACCCGACUGUCAAAUUCAGAAGGGCCAACCACGACCUAGCUCCGCUCGCCACCAUUGUCGUCGCCACGAGUGCCAACACCAACUACUCGCAUCAUCAGCUGUGCACCAUCCAACCGUGAGAAUGUGCAUAUCCAACCCAGGAAAAGUGUGGAGGGGAACAAAUCUUCAAGACGGCGCCCUAAGUGGGGAGCGAUGCAGAAAUAACAAUGUUGUCCGACCCUGCAACAGGGACCUUAGGCUUUUACUGAAGACAUCCCAAGGGUGACCAAGAUGGAAGAGCUGCACGGCGACCCUCCAAGAAGGAAUAACGACACUAGCAACCGCCACAUCAUCAUUGAUGGCAUAAUCCAGGCAAGCCUUUGCCCCGGAGGAACAAACGUGCACAUACACCCCCACUAGACAAAAUACUGCCUUACCUAUAGACAAAUCAGUUCUUUUUUGGGCGAGAUAAGCCCAAAGUAAUCUGUGCAAAUAUUCUCUGUAAAUUCAAAAUCUAUGUGUAUUAUAUGUAGUUAAUCAACAUUUUACCGCCCAAAUUAGAAUCCUAGCCACUUUAUACCUCGAACUUUCAUUAAAUGUGUCUAGACUUACGUAUUGAGUGCACCAUGCAUGCUGCCAAGCCAACCCGCGUUGAAUCGCGCCAUAAAUUUCCUUAAGUUUAAAUUUCCGCUAGGAUUUACCUUGUAAAUAAGUUUCCACCGUUCUUACUAGCACAAAUUUAAAGCUUUGGGGUAAAUCCUUUCUGCAUAAUCCCUGUAAAAAAUGAUAAAAGUAAAGGUACAAAGUAGAAAUUUUAAUAUAUAUCAUCACACAAUCAUAGUACAACCAGCACACACAUACAAUUAUCAUCCAUACAAGCCAGAAAAGUAAGUCAGAACAAUCACAAGAUUUACAUGGGCAUCAUACCCUAAUCUUGAUUGAUCUUGACAUUAUAUAGCACAGAAUGACUUGAUGGUGGUGGGUUACAACACACCACUUAUUUAAUCCAGCAGGCAAUAUAAGUCACGAGUAUACUAUAUCUGGCGCGGUUGAUGUACUCGAACAUCUCAUCCCAGCGGCUCCUCUUGGAUGUGUGCUUCCACAUUUUCCUUUUCCGCUUGUGUCCCAAGUGGUGGUUUUGGUUGUGCAUUCGGGUCCGGCAGUCCAGGCAGUGGUUGUGGGUUUGGGUCUGGUAAUGGUUGUGGGUUUGGAUCAGGCUGCGGUCCUGGUAAUGGCUGAGGGUUUGGGUUUGGUUGUGGGUCCGGCAAUGGUUUUGGGUUUGGGUCUGGUAAUGGUUGUGGGUUUGGAUCAGGCUGAGGUCCUGGUAAUGGUUGAGGGUUUGGGUUUGGCUGUGGGUUNNNNNNNNNNNNNNNNNNNNNNNNNNNNNNNNNNNNNNNNNNNNNNNNNNNNNNNNNNNNNNNNNNNNNNNNNNNNNNNNNNNNNNNNNNNNNNNNNNNNNNNNNNNNNNNNNNNNNNNNNNNNNNNNNNNNNNNNNNNNNNNNNNNNNNNNNNNNNNNNNNNNNNNNNNNNNNNNNNNNNNNNNNNNNNNNNNNNNNNNNNNNNNNNNNNNNNNNNNNNNNNNNNNNNNNNNNNNNNNNNNNNNNNNNNNNNNNNNNNNNNNNNNNNNNNNNNNNNNNNNNNNNNNNNNNNNNNNNNNNNNNNNNNNNNNNNNNNNNNNNNNNNNNNNNNNNNNNNNNNNNNNNNNNNNNNNNNNNNNNNGGCAAUGGUUUCGGGUUUGGGUCUGGAAAUGGUUGUGGGUUUGGAUCAGGCUGCGGUCCUGGUAAUGGCUGAGGGUUUGGGUUUGGUUGUGGGUCCGGCAAUGGUUUUGUGUUUGGGUCUGGUAAUGGUUGUGGAUUUGGAUCAGGCUGCGGUCCUGGUAAUGGACGAGGGUUUGGGUUUGGCCGUGGGUCUGGUAGUAGCUGCGGGUUUGGGUUUGGCCAUGGGUUCAUCAACCGUUGCAGGUUUUGGCCUGGCAAUGGUUGUGGAUUUGGGUCAGGGUGUGGUCCUGGUAAUGGUUGAGCAUUUGGAUCAGGUUGUGGCUCAGGCAGUGGUUGUGGGUUUGGAUUAGGUUUAGGAUCGGGUAGUGGUUGCGGGUUUGGGUCUGGUCGUGGUCCUGGCAGUGGUUGUGGGUCUGGCAAUGGUUGAGGAUUUGGAUUUGGUUGUUUUCCUG